UGGUGGCUCCAAGCUCGCCUCCCGAAACGAUAUAAGGAGCUCGUCGCCUCCCCGCAACCCUAGGGCUCCCGUUUUCCCCUUCUCCUCCCUCUCGCGCCGUCAGGGAAGGGCCUCCGACGCGGACGCCAUGGGAGGUCCUCAGUGAGCUCGAGCAGCAGCAGUUCGCGGACUCCUCCGCUCCUUCGAUAGCACUAGGUGGACGCGGUGGCCGAGGAGAUCCCGUUCCCAUAGCAACCUGAUGGCUUCUUCCUCGACGUCCACGUUGUCUUCUUCCUCCCCUGCUGUCGGCGAACUCCUCUGCUUCGGAUCGACGCCCUCCUUCCUCUCCUGCACCGGUUCAUCAUCUAGGUUCUAGGUGAGCGUUCCCCGCUUCUUCCCCCUCUCUGGUAGCACGAGUAGGUGAACAAAGCGACGACUGUCCAGAGUAGUGCGUAGGAGCUCGAGCAGCAGCACCACCGUAGCUAGGUGGUCGUAGAUCCGGCGUAGCAGUGCUUCUAUCGGAGAGAUUAGGCCGGGAAUGGAAUCCAUGUGGUUCCUACUUCCCCCCCCNNNNNNNNNNNNNNNNNNNNNNNNNNNNNNNNNNNNNNNNNNNNNNNNNNNNNNNNNNNNNNNNNNNNNNNNNNNNNNNNNNNNNNNNNNNNNNNNNNNNCUGAACACCUACUUACGUCAAACAUAACCCCACCAUGUUCCCCAUCGAAGAGAGGUCUUCGAAGGAGACAGUCACGGUUACGCACACAGUUGGCAGUUUUAUUAGAGUUAGUUCAAGUUAUCAGGACCGGAUGUUAACAAAUUAUCCAUGCUUGCCACAUAACCGCAGGCACGACUUUCCGAAAGAUUAAACCCUGCAGGGGUGCUCCAACUAGUCCAUCAAAACGGUCACGAGCCGCAAAGUAAUCCUCUAUCACGAAUCUCGUGAUCUCGUCGGAUUCCUUAGAGGAAAACCUCAACUUUGAGGAGACCCAAAGUUUCAUCGGGAUUCCUAUACGCAAGAUAUAUCGCUAAGGUAAGACAAAUCUAGCAGGACCUCCCGACGUNNNNNNNNNNGGGAGACCGAAAGUUUCACCUGGAUUCCUAUACCCAAGAUAUAUCGCUAAGGUAAGACAAAUCUAGCAGGACCUCCCGACGUGUCGACGACCCCGAUAAGAGCCGCGUAUCUCAGUCUCAGGACACGCCGGAUAAGCGAAGCGUACGGUGGCCUGAUAGAAAUCUCCUGAGUUGCCCCGGGUUGGCCCCGCACGGUGCUCUGGUUUGGACCAACACUCAUGAGGAGCACUGGCCCGGGUUGUUGAUUAAAUCCUCGGGGUAGCUAUUCCCUAUGCAAAUUAUUAUUAGGUGAUUAGCAAAUUAAAACCAAUGUUGGGUCCUACCGGACAAGCCUUAACACUACACGAUUUAUCAAGGGGGACCCCAUAACAACCCCGAACGUGUUAGGAGCGAUCAGUUAUGGAAUCAANNNNNNNNNNAAUAAGAGCCGCGUAUCUCAGUCUCAGGACAUGCCGGAUAAGCGAAGCGUACGGUGGCCUGAUAGAAAUCUCCUCAGUUGCCCCGGGUUGGCCCCGCACGAUGCUCUGGUUUGGACCAACACUCAUGAGGAGCAUUGGCCCGGGUUGUUGAAUAAAUCCUCGGGGUAACUAUUCCCUAUGCAAAUUAUUAGUAGGUGAUUAUAAAAUUAAAACCAAUGUUGGGUCCUGCCGGACAAGCCUUAACACUACACGAUUUAUCAAGGGGGUCCCCAUAACAACCCCGAACGUGUUAGGAGCGAUCAGUUAUGGAAUCAAACACCGGUAGCCGAAACUAAGGUGGCAACAACGGAACAAGUCACCUGGCAAAAGGCUAGGCCUUCCGUCAUUUACCAAGUAUAUAGGUGCAUUAAUUAAAUAGAAGAUUAAUCAUAAUGAUAUCAAAAUACUCAUGUUAUCACAUGAGACAGCUGGCACCUGCAACUAACAAAACUAAUCAUUAGAAGUUGAGCAAGCCUACUUAGCCAAACAUUAGCUAGGAGGGGAAGGUGUUUUGGGUUUCAUGGCAUUAACAAGAGGCAUUUUAACAAGUGGUAGGCAGUGAGCAUAUAUCGAAGGAAACGUGAUUCUAAGCAUAACAAAGCUAGAUAUGGUAUCAAGGUCACGGUCAUCUUGCGUGUGAUGUCUUUAGCUUGGAACUGCUCUUGAUCGUCCUGCACGUACUCUCCAGAAUCCACGUACUCGCUCUCUGAUCCCGGUGCUACCCAAGAUAAAAAAACAGCCAAUGUACUCCAACACAACAUGAUGCAACAAAUAAUGUGAUGCAUGAGAUGAGAAGGAAGCAUGCCUCACUAUUCUAGUCACUUGCAUAUACAUGAGAUGAGAAGAUAAACUUCUGGACAGAACUUCACACUAAGCUAUCUUGACAUGCAUGAGGAUGGCAUGAAGAGGUGCAUCACGAGAAAACGAUGCAAAAACAUAUAAAGAACGUUGAGAACGGAGCUACGGAUCAACCGGAAACUACGAAACAAGAUAUGGAGUCCUACGGGUGAAAUCAAACACAAGAACACUCCAAUGGCACUCUUCUGGUGUUCCCAGGUUGCCACAUGAUCAAACAAACAAAUAUAAGUGGAGUGGUGCAAAGAAACUCACCACACCACCAACAAUACUCACACAAGCUUCAAAACAACUAAAACAUGCAAUCUGACCUAAACAACAUCAUAGCAGUUUGCCUACAACAUUCAAAGUACCUACAGCCACCUAAAUGAGCCAAACAAGAUAUGUGGCAAAAGACAUUCAAAAGCUCUACAAGCCUGAGCAAUAAGCUACUGAAAAGGCAUCACACGUAAGAAGAUCUAUGGACACAAACUUGGACAAAAAUAAUAGAUUUCUCGGACUUAGUGAAAAUCUCAGAUUUUCACUAGCUGCUUAUGCUCUGAAGCAUUUUGGCAGCCUCCAAAAUGAUAUCUACAGGAAGUGAAAGUGCAUGAAAUUUAACGGAGGGCUAGACAAACCCAAAAUCUCACAAACCUUAGUUUGUUGCAUGGGUUGAUUCCCAAUACAUGAGCUUGUGCAACCACAUCAACAAGGGAAGAAAAUAACAGCAGUUUCUCAGAUUUUCACAAAGCUGACAAUUUCAGCCAAGUGUCAACUUUGACAANNNNNNNNNNNNNNNNNNNNNNNNNNNNNNNNNNNNNNNNNNNNNNNNNNNNNNNNNNNNNNNNNNNNNNNNNNNNNNNNNNNNNNNNNNNNNNNNNNNNGGCAUAAGAACCUUGGUUUGCUCAUGAAUAUUAUAUACUUAGCUUGUUUUCCUCUAAAAUGACAUAAUUAGCCCAUUUAGCUCCAAAAUGGCCUAUUUAAUAAAACAAUGACCUAUACUUACCUAAGUUCUCUUCUAAAUGACAUAAUAAGGCUAUGUAGCUCCAAGAUGACCUAUUCCACCUAACUUAGCUAUUAAAUGGCCUAUAAUUAGCUUAGCUAGCUCGCAAAUGGCUUAAUAAUCAUAGUUGGCUCCAAAAUGACAUAUUUUACCCAAGUUAGCUCUAGAAUGGCCUAUACUUUGCUUGGCUUCCACCUAAAUGACAUAAUUAGCUUAAUUAGCUCCAAAAUGGCCUAUUUAAUAAAAAAUGACCAAUACUUACCUAAGUUCUCUUCUAAAUGACAUAAUAAGGCUAUGUAGCUCCAAUAUGACCUAUUGCACCUAACUUAGCUAUUAAAGGCGUGUUCAGAGUCCCUCCACUCCACCACUCCGCUCCAGGAGCGGGUGGAGCUGAAGUUCAAAACUGUGGAGCGGGUCAAUAGACACUCCGUGGAUCCUUGAAUUCGAGGGAGCCGGUUGAUUGCCGAACAACCCCUAAAUGGCCUAUAAUUAGCUUAGCUAGCUCCAAAAUGGCUUACUAAUCAUAGUUGGCUCCAAAAUGACAUAUUUUAUCCAAGUUAGCUCUAGAAUGGCCUAUACUUAGCUAAGUUCUCUCCUAAAUGACAUAAUAAGUCUAUGUAGCUCCAAGAUGACCUAUUCCACCUAACUUAGAUAUUAAAUGGCCUAUAAUUAGCUUAGCUAGCUCCAAAAUGGAUUAAUAAGCAUAGUUGGCUCCAAAAUGACAUAUUUUUUCCCAAGUAGCUCCAAAAUGACAUAUACUUAGCUAAGUUCUCUCCUAAUGACAUAAUAAGGCUAUGCAGCUCCAAGAUGACUUAUUCCCCCUAACUUAGCUAAGUUCUCUCUGAAAUGACCUAUACUUUUCUUCUUCAUCUAGUCUUCUUCUUCUAACUUUUUAUUUGCCAUUUUGUAGAUUACAUUCACUUCACGGGAAGCUUGGAUUAUAUUGAUGGAGUGCUUGAAUAUGGUUGAUUCUACCAUGGCUUCACGGAAGCUUGGAUUGAAACUAUUGUAGUAUAUGGAUAUAUAUGUAACUUUGAAUGCAUGGAUGAAACUAUUGUAAUAUAUGGUUUGGUACGGAUGCAACUUGCAUAAUAUGUAUGUAUUAUGGAUGAAAGUUAUUUUAAUAUGGUUAUGAGUAUGGAAACAAAAUUAUUUCUGUCAAAUAUAUAUAUAUCCUGAUUAUUGUGAAAAUUAUUCCUGAUUUGUGUGAAAAUUGCUGGAUAUUAUAGAAAAUAAAAUAAACAGGGUUUGUUUUGAGCCUUUGUCGUCCGCCCACCAAUGGCAAAGGGCAUGCAGCAGAGGGAAAAGGCUCAAACAUGCGUGGGAUGAAACAUGCUGGGGUGCCCCUUUGCCGUUGGCCUGAGACAUGGCUGACGACAAAAGAGGAGGGCAGACGACAAAGGUGAGGGAGAGAGGGGCUGGGUGCCCCCCUUUGCCGUCGGCCUCAAACAUGGCUGACGACAAAGGGGGGGGGGUAGGGAAGACGACAAAGGUGGGGUAGGGCAGAUGACAAAGGGGGGGUAGGCCUAGCAGGCUGCCGUUAGCACUUAACGGGAGCGAUUGCGAAUCUGCCAUCCCAUUUUGUUUGCCAUUAGCCCCACCAUGGCAAAGAUUCUUUGUAGUCCGCCUUCCAAAGGCACACGACAAAGAACCUCUUUGCCGGAUAAAUCUUUGCCGUCUAGUUUGCCGUCCGGGGCGCCCCCCUUUGCCGUCUGCCCUGCCGGACGACAAAGUUUCUAAUCCCUGUAGUGCACAUAGCUACUGUAGAAGAUCUCAGCCCCGAGGAGGAACUACUCCCGCUUCAUGGAGGGAGGAAGCAACAUCGACGGAGAUGAAUCCCGGGGCACUUCCCUGUCCCGGCAGGGUGCCGGCACAGGAAUUCUGGUCCCCCGAAACUUGUUGACGAUGGCGGCGGAUAUUGGAAUUGCUUUUGGCGAAAAGGGUUCCAGAAUCAGCAUUUCCUCCACGGGGGUAAAAGUAGGAGCCGAGGUAGGGUUCCAGAGGAGGUGGGCCCCACCCAAGCGGCCUGUGGGCGCGACCAGGGGGUAGGCCGUGCAGGGAGGCCGCCUGGGCGACGCCUGGCUCCCCUCUAGCGAACCUUUGGUGCUCUCGAAGCUUCUGUCACGCUGAUUUUUAUAUAUUUUUCUUGGGAUUUUUGGGACUCGGUAAAUUGGGGUAAAAGUCCGUGCAAAAAAAGACAUCAGCAGACAAAAACUAGCACUAGGUGCACUGAGUUACUAGGUUUGUCCAAAUAUGUGUCAAAAGGUAUGAAAGUGUACAAAACACAUAGCAAUAUCACCCAAAACUUGCAUGGAGCAAGCAGAAAUUAUAGAUACGCUUGGGACGUAUCAACAUCCCCAAGCUUAAUUCCUACUCGUCCUCGAGUAGGUAAAUGAUAACAAGCAUAAUUUAUGUGGUGACAUGCUAACACACAUAUAAGAACUUCAAAGUAAAGCAAGCAAGAUAUGAAAUUCAAGUCAAGACAAUAACAAGCAAGAGUCUAUAUCUAGUAUUGAAACUAGCAAAGUAAGAACAUAAAGGUGCAAGAGCUCUCGCUGUCCGUGACUCGAAUGUCUCCAAAUGGUGUUUGCGUGCAAGAAGCGGGAGAUAGGUUUAGAGCAUAAAAAUAGUAUUUAAUUGAGAACUCAAUCUACUAAAACUUUACACUUGGUCUCCUUCAGAAUCUUAUUUUGACUCAUCGCCAGACCACUAGUCAGGCACAAGUCAAAAUGAUCCUCUCCCUUUCGACUUUGAGCACUCAUACAAUGGAUGAGCGCAAUCAAGAUAUGUUGGCACUUAGGAUGGAAAAUAGAAUAAUGAUGGGGAAGGACGACAAAUAGGUGUGAAAGGCUCACAUCAAUGAGGACAACCAUAGGCGAGAGAAGGCCAAAUGAUAGAUAUGAUGUGAGGAGUAGGGAUUGCCAUGCAACGGAUGCAUGAAUGAUAAUCUCUAUGUAGUACAAAUAUAACAAUGGAGUACGAGUGUGGAUCUUUCAAAAGGAAUAGUAGUGUUGCCCCCUUCUCUCUUUUUAUUUCUUUUUCUUUUUUUCUUUUUUUGUGUGGCCUCUUUGGUGCUUUAUAUAAUUCUCUCAUUUGUCGUCUUUGGGAUCUUUUCAUUUGUCCUCUUUGGGAUCUUUUCCUCACUUAAGGGCAACACUCUAUGUUUUACAAGAAUAAAAAGAAGAUCAUCACACUUUAUAAGAAGUACUCAACAUAAAGACAAAUGAAAACUAUCAUGAUGUAUGCAAAUGUAUGCCUCUACCAGUGUAGGAGGAUAUGCAAUGAUACUAGCACGUCAUGCAGCAAUAAUAAGGACAAGGACCAACUAGCAUGCGGCUCCUCGAUCAAGCAAAAGCAUGUAUGACAUGAAGAUCAAGUCAUGAGAUGGUGGAUGUUGCAUGGCAAUGUAUCUCGGAAAGGCUAUGGAAAUGCCUUAAUAGGUAGGUAUGGUGGCUAUUUUGAGGAAAGAUAUAAUGAGGCUUAUGAUGACAGAGUUUAUCAUGUCAAGGGUUUGGAUGAACCGGCGAAGUUUGCACCAACUCUCAAGAUGAGAAAGGGAAAUGCAUGGUACCGAAGAGGCUAGGGAUGGUGGAAGUUGNNNNNNNNNNNNNNNNNNNNNNNNNNNNNNNNNNNNNNNNNNNNNNNNNNNNNNNNNNNNNNNNNNNNNNNNNNNNNNNNNNNNNNNNNNNNNNNNNNNNCUUGAAACCCAAAGUAGUAAUUUCAUCACUACUCAAAGUUUUGAUAUCCUCUACUCCGCUUUCAAUGCUUCUAGCAUCAAGGUAGAUAGACUCCGAAUCAUUGGGGCGUUUUCCAACCAAAGUGGAUUCAUAUCCAGCCCCAUCAUCAUUAGGUUUAACAUUAGAAAACAAGGAUUCAAUGGGAGUCACACCAAGCACUUUAAGAUCUUUGUGAUUCUCAUCAUGAGAACACACCUUUUCAAGCCAUUCAUGUCUAGCACGAAUUUGGGCGGUUCUUUCUUUACUCUCAUUCAUGAAACACGCAUAGCUUUGAAAGUUUCAUCCAUAUUAAUCUUGGGAGGAGCACAUCUCAAUUUCAAAGCAUCAAUAUCAAGAGACAUUAUAUCAACGGUCCUAGCCAAGUCAUCAAUUUUGAGCAGUUUUUCUUCUAUGGACGCAUUGAAAAUCUUUUGCGAGUUGAUAAUCUCUUUAAUAUUACUCUCAAGAUCAUAGGUUAAUUUAUUGUAAUUUCCAUGAGCAUUGUUGUAGGAAUUGCCAAAGUUAUUAGAAGGAUUACUAGGAAAAGGCCUAGGAAUAAAGUUACCUCUAUAAGCAUUGUUGUUGCCAAAAUCAUUCCUACCAACAAAAUUAACAUCCAAGCUCUCAUUGCUAUUCUCAAUCAAGGAAGACAAAGGUAUAUCAUUUGGAUCUAGACGAGCACCUUUACUAGCAAACAAUUUCAUUAACUCAUCCAUCUUAGAACUCAAAGAGUUAAUUUCUUCUAUAUCACGCAUUUUUUUACUAGUAGGUGACCUUUCAGUGUGCCAUUGAGAAUAGUUUGUCAUGAUAUUGUCUAGGAGUUUUGUGGCUUCUCCUAAUGUGAUUUCCAUGAAGGUUCCACCGGAGGCGGAAUCCAAGAUAUUUCUAGAAGCAAAAUUCAAACCAGCAUAGAAGAUUUUUAUAAUCAUCCAAAGACUCAAGCCAUGAGCGGGACAAUUUCUAAUCAUCAAUUUCAUCCUCUCCCAAGAUUGUGCAACAUGUUUAUGAUCUAGUUGCUUAAAAUUCAUGAUAUCAUUAUGGAGAGAGAUAAUCUUAGCCGGUGGAAAAUACUUGGAUAUAUAAGCAUCUUUACACUUGUUCCAAGAAUCAAUGCUAUUUUUGGGUAAAGAUGAAAACCAAAUUUUUGCUCGAUCUCGUAAUGAGAACGGAAAUAACUUCAAUUUAAUCACAUAAUUAUCCACAUCUUUCUUCUUUAGUGGCAGGAGCAAUCGGAGUACUAAUAAAAUCAUUAUUAUUAGUAUUCGAGAAGUCACACAAUUUGGUGUUUUCAGUCAUGGUGACUUCAGCAAGCAGACAAGCACACAAGCGAACAGAAAGCAAGCGAAAGAAAAGGCGAACGAAAAAGGCAAAUAUUUUUGUAUUUUUUUUUCAGAAGUGGGGGAGAGGAAAACGAGAGGCAAAAGGCAAAAAAGUAAAUGCAAGAGAUGAGUUUGUGAUAGUUACUUGGAUGAGCUUCACUUAGAAUAAUCCCCGGUGCCAGAAAUUGACAUGUUGAAGGGAGACUAUUCUUGACUUGAUACUCCCCGGCAACGGCGCCAGAAGUUCUUCUUGCUACCUCUUGAGCUUGCGUUGGUUUUUUCCCUUGAAGAGGAAAGGUUAUGCAUCACAGUAGCAGUAAGUAUUUCCCUCAGUUUGAGAACCAAGGUAUCAAUCCAGUAGGAGUAUCAAGACAAGUCACCAAUGUACCUGCGCAAAAACAAACAAACUUGCACCCAACGCUAUAAAGGGGUUGUCAAUCCCUUCACGAUUAAUUGCAAGGUGAGAUCUGAAGGUGGAAAGUGCAACAAAGUAAAAGUGUAGAGCUGAAAUUAUGAUGUGAACUAGACCCGGGGGCCAUAGUGUUCACUAGAGGCUUCUCUCAUGAUAGCAAGUAUUACGGUGGGUGAACGAAUUACUGUCGAGCAAUUGAUAGAACCGCGCAAAGUCAUGACAAUAUCUAAGGCAAUGAUCAUACAUAUAGGCAUCACGUCUGAGACAAGUAGACCGAUACUGUCUGCAUCUACUACUAUUACUCCACACAUCAACCGCUAUCCAGCAUGCAUCUAGUGUAUUGAGUUCAUAACGAACAGAGUAACGCCUUAAGCAAGAUGACAUGAUGUAGAGGGAUAAAUUCAUGCAAUAGUUAUAAACCCCAUAUUUUUACCCUUGAUGGCAACAACAUGAUGUGUGCCUCGCUACCCCUUCUGUCAAUGGGUGAGGACACCGCACGGUAUGAACCCAAAACCAAGCACUUCUCCCAUUGCAAGAAUUAUAGAUCAAGUUGGCCAAACGAAACCCACAACUCGAAGAGAAUUACAAGGAUACGAAAUCAUGCAUAUAAGAGAUGAGAGGAAACUCAAAUAAUAUUCAUAGAUAAUCUGAUCAUAAAUCCACAAUUCAUCGGAUCUCGACAAACACACCGCAACAGAAGGUUACACCGGAUAGAUCUCCAUGAAGAUCAUGGAGAACUUUGUAUUGAAGAUCCAAGAGAGAGAAGAAGCCAUCUAGCUACUAGCUAUGGACCCGAAGGUCUGCGGUGAACUACUCACGCAUCAUUGGAGAGGCAAUGGUGUUGAUGAAGAAGCCCUCCAUGUCUGAAUCCCCCCUCGGCAGGGCACCAGAACGUGCCCCAGAUGGGAUCUUGCGGAGAGAGAAGCUUGCGGCUGCAGGAAAAGUAUUUUCGUGGCUCUCUCUGGCAGUUUUGGAUUUUUAGGGAAUUUAUAGGCGGAAGAAGUAGGGCAAAGGAGCCAUGGGGGGCCCACAAGCCUGGUAGGCGCCCCCCAGGCCAUGGCUAGGGGGCUUGUCGCCUCCCCUAGAAUCCUUUGCCUUGGUUCUCAAGUUCCUUGCGUAUCUUGUGUUACGGAAAAAAUCUUUCCGAAGGUUUUAUUCCGUUUGGGUUCCGUUUAAUAUUCUUCUGUGAAAAGGGUCAAAACCAUGGAAAAAACAGGAACUGGCACUUGGCACUGAGUUAAUAGGUUAGUCCCAAAAAAGAUAUAAGAUAGCAUAAUCAUGCAAACAAAACAUCCAAAGUUGACAAGAUAAUAGCAUGGAACCAUAAACAAUUAUAGAUAUGUUGGAGACGUAUCAGGGGGUUUAGGUGUGUCCACAGCCCUCCCAACCCUCCUUUAUUUAUAGGAGGAAGGGUUGAGGGGGUCGUACACCCUAAUAAACCCUAGGAGGGGGCGGCGGCGGCCCUAGGGGUGGCUUGCCUCCCAAGUUGGACCACUACAAGGAAUAUGCUAAUACACGACGCUAUUUUUUCGUCGCUACAUCAUCACGGUUUUUAAUUUACGACGAUCUCACGACGAAAAACCAAGCGUCGAAAACGGAGCGUCACAAAUGGACAACAGCGAUGUUUUGAUCAAAAUCGUCGUAACCUUUACGACAAUUCCUGGAUUGUCGUAACCUUUACGACGAUCCUAAAUCGUCGUUGGCAAUCAAACCCAGUCCUACGUGGCAGUCCUAGGUGGCAAAAUUACGACGAAAUCAAAACGUCAUGGUUGAAAUCAGCCCAACCCAUUUCAAUUGAUCACAUGGGCUGGUUUUUUUGGGGGCUUUUUCUUAUUGGGCCUUAGCCUAUUUACAGCCACUUUAGUAAUCAUUUUUGGGCCCUAGCCUUUUAGUGUCCAAAUACAUUUGAUCCAAUUUCAGUUUUGGCCUUUUUUUCAUUUUUAAAUUCAGCAACUUUUUUUAUUUUAUGUUGUUAAUGAAUCUAUGAAUAACAGCCCAGUCAUGUGAAUUUUCAGAAAACAUUUUGACAGCAUAAUGCGUUGAAAGAAUCCAAACCAACAAGAAUGAUGCAAUGUUGUUGUUCAUUUCAAAACUGAUUCGUGCACUCCAAGUGCAAGUGAGUCAAUACAUUCACUAGAUUAAACUUUCCAUGUCACCAUCCUACCACAACAUUUCCACAACACCCCAAACUAAAAAAAUUACUCGCUCAUGGAUGAAUUUAACAGCCACUACUACUCGCUGCUGGCCCUUCCUUGCUUGUCUUGUCAUUCUUCCACAACGCAGGCAUCGACUCGCCAAGACAGGCCUUCCUUCCUUCCGUGCAUUGAAUACAAAAGGAGCUCAGAUAUAGCACCCAGUAGAACGCCAAGCCAUCAUCAGACACUUCACACCAUACGUCUUUAUCAAACACUUCACACCAUACGACACCCAGUCGUCCAACUACAACCAAGUGGCACUACAAGCUCCAUCCAUCGGGUCUUCUCGCCUUUGCAAUAUCAAACUUUCUGAUGACCUGGGCAGGGAGACACACACACACAUAGAGAUAACAAGAUUAACCGGUGGCCUCAAGAACCCAUAAAGGACAAACAAGCCAUAGAGCCAAAGCAACAUAAAUUUGUAGAACAACAAAAAGAACAAUAUGUGUUGCAUGUAUUUUAUACCAGGAAAAGGAACAACAGCCUAAAAGCCUACAUAUGCACUACAUUGGCUGAUAGCCGCACAACAAAAAAAUUAUCAAGCUGCAACUAUGAUACUCUCUUGGUUGCAACUAGCCUGGCCAGUGUCGGAUCACGUUGGGACAGUGUCUAACCAUUUUGUUACUUUGUGCAAGUGGCACUACAGAAAAAAUAUAUUAUAAGUUGGGGUGUAUCUAAAUGUAAGCCAGUCCUCAUACUUGUAAGCCCGGUAUGAAAGGAAGAAACCACAUUAAACAAAGUGACCUACUUGAUUUUCUUAUAGGUUGCUUGCAUGGAAUUUUCGUGUGAAAAAUCACAGCGAAAUACAUAUGCACGAAUCUCGUCAUUGUGUGUAACCGUGAACCUUUUUUUAAUUACAAUAAAGGGGCCGUAUGCAUCGUGCUGAUGCAGAGGCCGGAGGUAACCCUCUUUUUCUAAAAAAAAACUACAUUCAGAUCAACAUGCAUGCAUGCACGGUGAAAUGCAAAUAUAAACUCAGGUAUUUGUUCUGCUGAAGAAUCGAGCAAGACAAGUUCUCCAACAAAAAAACAAGUUCAACUAAGAGUGUCGUGGGUAUAAGCCUGACAGUAGAUGUGUAGGGUACGAAAGGAUGGGCAGAGCCUUAGCUACGACGAGGUUGUAUGAGUUCAGGCCCCUCUGCGGUGGAGGUAAUAGCCCUACGUCUCAGUGCUCUGGGAGNNNNNNNNNNNNNNNNNNNNNNNNNNNNNNNNNNNNNNNNNNNNNNNNNNNNNNNNNNNNNNNNNNNNNNNNNNNNNNNNNNNNNNNNNNNNNNNNNNNNNNNNNNNNNNNNNNNNNNNNNNNNNNNNNNNNNNNNNNNNNNNNNNNNNNNNNNNNNNNNNNNNNNNNNNNNNNNNNNNNNNNNNNNNNNNNNNNNNNNNNNNNNNNNNNNNNNNNNNNNNNNNNNNNNNNNNNNNNNNNNNNNNNNNNNNNNNNNNNNNNNNNNNNNNNNNNNNNNNNNNNNNNNNNNNNNNNNNNNNNNNNNNNNNNNNNNNNNNNNNNNNNNNNNNNNNNNNNNNNNNNNNNNNNNNNNNNNNNNNNNNNNNNNNNNNNNNNNNNNNNNNNNNNNNNNNNNNNNNNNNNNNNNNNNNNNNNNNNNGCCUACGUUACAGGUAACAUAAGUCUUAAAUGCUAAUAAAGGCACGGGGAAACGUAUGACCGUUUCCCUCCAGGGGGUUACGAGGCUCAGAGUGGAGUCCAGACGGUUAGUUUGAUACGCUCCGAAUGCUAGUCUCCGACUAGAUGGUCGAAGACCUGUUACCGACUGGAUGAUGGGAACUCCUUAGUUCAGUCGGAACUGACUAAGGGACUUGUCCCUUAUGAGAGGUAGUCCUUGGGUAGGACCUACAGGGCAGGCCUAUGACCCUACCAUAGGACUAUAACCCCAUCAUUAGUCCCCGAAUGGAUUGGGAUUGGAACGACGAAGCGAUGCUUGAAGUUUGGAUCCGACUGAUACGGAUGUGACUUUGGCGUUGCCUGCCUCAAUCCAUUUUAUCUUUUCUGACCAACGAUCCGAGUGGAAGUAUUUGUGAAACAAACUGUCGGAAACCGAGUGCUUCCGUGGCAUCUUCUGACGUGACCAGUCAACUGACAGCGGCGGAUUUUCCGGGAUCCUCAAAUUUCGGUUACCGCACGCUCAGCGGGGAUGACGACAUCGCGCUCGAGUAGCGCCUGACGCCUCGAUUCCCGCGCCUUCAUCUUCUCCACUGAUAUCGCCGCGGUCGGUCGGUGGAUAAGAUUUCGGGGCCACUUGCCAGUGACCCAGUCGGAACCUUACUUAAAUCCCAGCGGCGAGGGUUUUUUCGUUACGCUUGUCGGACAUCUCGCCUUUGCUCCGCUUCCUUCGCCAUCCUCUGCGCAUCCUAAGCUUCUUCCUUCUCCUUCUCCCUCGCGAAUCCGUAGCUUCCGCCAUGACAAAGGGGCAGACUAGCAAGCUAGAGGCGCGGAAGAAGAGGGGGAAGGUGGCGGCUCCUGCGCGGAAGCAGCGAACGCUACCGGCGGGGUGGAUCCAGGGGGACUUCCUCCCCUCCACUGUGAUGGAAGAGGACCUGCUGGAGCUGGUGGAGCACGGGCUGAUCGUGCACAAGUCGUGGAGGCUGUCGGCGGAGGGUGAGACCGAGCCGGCGCCCCGGGAGGGGGAGCGCGUCCUGCUGCUCAGCCACAUGCAUUGAGGUUUCUCCUUGCCCCCGCAUCCUUUCUUCAAAGGCAUAAUGAAUCACUUCGGGGCCCAGCUCCACCACUUUCCCCCGAAUGCCAUAGCCCAUCUCUCUGCUUUCGUAGUCUUGUGCGAGUGCUUCAUCGGUUGUCCUCCCCAUUGGGGGCUUUUCAAACAUAUCUUCUCUGCUAGAUCCCAAACUAUCAAACGACUUAAUCAGUCGGAUGAUAAGACUCACCUUCUCUAGCUCUGCGGAGGCUUAGGCUUCCAAAAGAAGAGCAAAGGUAGUUAUCCUGCUCUUCAGCUGAGUGAAUCGGUUAGGAACUGGCAGUCGACAUGGUUCUACUGCCAGGACAUUGCCAGCCCGAAUGCCACGACAGGGUUGCCCCCUUUUAGCUUAGAUCGACCAGCUCCGCCUAAGCAGCUCGCGCUCACGAAGGCGGAGAAGGUCGAAAUCUAGCCUCUGGUCGACGCACUCGUAGAUGUCGUCAGGAAGGGAGUCACCGGUACAGACUUGGUCGAGGUUUUCCUCGGUCGGCGCAUCCAACCACUUCAGGCCCGACACCACGCCAUGUGGCACUACACGGGGCCCGAAGACUCCACUCGGACCAACGUCGUGUGCGUGACCGGGGAGAUGGUGGCGUCGUGGGUGCUCCAGAUCACAGGUGCCUGUGAGAACCCCAGAGGGUCCCGGCGAGUGAGGGCUUUCUGCGCGGACAAUCCUCCUUCGAACCAGGUGAGUACAACUUGUCGAGUGCACAUAACUGUCUUAGUUUUAUCUCUUUCUUGAAUCUCUGUCUGGCGUCUGAUGUCGUCGACUGUAUUUUAUGCAGGUGGACCAACUGGUUCUCCCCUGUCUCGAACGGGAACCCGGCCGGGGAGGAGGAAGAGGACAGCCAGGAGGGCAGCGUGGAGAGUGUCGAGUACGUCUCCGACGGUGGGGAGAUGGAGGAGGAGUCUGGUGAGGAGGAGGAGGAAGACGAAGAGCAGGACUCGCCACCCUCGUCGCCAGAGCAUCGAACCAAGCGCCGACAUGAACCUGCAGCUCCCUCAGCCCCUCCAGCAUCCUCAAGUGCUCCGCCAACUGCUCCUACGGUUCCGAGUGCCCCGUCAACUGUCCCCAGGGUUCCGAGUGCUCGGAGCACCAAGAGGACCAGGGACGCUGCUGCUGAGCCUGCGGGUCAGCCUUCCAAGGUGGCCAAACCAAGCGGAUCUAAACCUCGGAAGGCUUUGCCGCGGAUGAGGGUCGCCGUUCCCGUCACCUCAACGUAAGUGCCUUGUUCUUCUAACUUCUUCUGAUAUUCGAUUGGACUCCUGUUUAUUGUUCGAAUGAAUUUCACUCGACAGAGUUUCUACCUCUGCCACCUCUCCGGCACGCCAGGGGGAUGAUCCCAUGGACGUGGACAAUGUCGUCUCGUCCCAGCCAGGUGCGUCGUAGCGAUUCCGAGAGUUUACAUUAUCGCAUCACGAAUUCUGUCUUCGGUCUUGCCCUUUUUCUUUCUGUGGUCUCACGCCAUUCGGUCGGGUUUCUCUCAGGGGCGAUUUAUGUGGAUGAGGGUGACCAGGGAAGGUCUGAGCAAGCUGCGGUGCCUGUCCUUGAGGCUGUUCCGCCAGUUACUGUUCUCACCGCGGACAUGCCGCCGACUGAGGCGAUGUCGUUGACUGAAACGGCGCUGGUUGCUGCCGAAUCGACUGGAGCGGGCCUUUGGAUGCCUAAGGAGCCUCCAAUGAUGCCAGGCCCGUAGAACGUCGAGUACAACGUCCAGCGCCUCCUAGAAGACCAGGUGGGAGCGGCCAAGGGGGCCAUGGUACAGGCGGAGCUAAUGGCGGGAGAAGCCAAGAAGGCGUACGACUCCAUCGCGUCCCUGUACCAGCGAAGCUUGGAACUGCGGGACGAUAUUCGAGUAAGUGGGCUAGUAAGUAUUUACUUUUCUCUUGUAACCCACUGGGUGUGCUCGGAUAUCGUAUGAUUUUUGCAAUGGGUUCACUCUUAGUGAACCCAGUGGGUGUAGUCCCCGAGACUUCUGUCGAGUGCUUGCACCGGCAGUUGUCUUUAUACACACUGUCUGUGACUUGAUCAGAUCACAAAUUAAUCUGUUGGAAUGUUAACAGUUGGUGCACUCGGAGUGCACCUAUUGGAUGAGUCUCCGAGAGUAAUUUUACUCAGGUCGGGUAGUAGUAGCCUCAUAGGCUUAGGUGUUAUCAUGUAUCUCAAUAGGGCGGACCUGUUUGAGUUUCAUGCCAGUGGAGUCACUCUCAGUGAACCCACUGGGUGUAGUCCCCGAGACCGCUGUUGACUGCUUGCGUCGUCAGGGGUCUGAAGAACUUAGACUUUUUAUUGUUGGAUUUGUCUGAUCGUCUCCUGGCGCUGGCUGGCAGAAAACUUGCGAGAUGGGGACGGCGUACGAGACUCUCAGGGCUGAAAAGGUUCAGUUUGCCGGUGAGCUAGAUGCGGCACUGGUUGCAAUGGCUGGUAUGAAGGAUGUUCUGGCGGAACGAGAGAAGUCCUUGGAGCAGGCCCGUGAAGCAAAAAAGGCAUUGACUGCUGAAGUGGAGAAAAUGAAGGCGCAUAGGUCCGAGCUGAUGGGGCAAAUGAAUGUGCUGAACAAGCGGUGUAUAGCACAGGAAAAUACGUCAGUGACUCGGCCCGGCAGAUGAUAACGCGUCUGGGUGGUAAGUCUUGUUUUUUCGAGUGCUUGUGGUAUGUGCAUUUCACUCGGCGCUUAUUGUUUGCUCGUCCUGUGUUUGUAGAUUUUUGCAUAGAUGUUGAGGCUGAAGCAGCUGACGUGGAGCGGUCGAUUCGUGAGAACAUUCCACUCGGCGAGGACGCCAAUCGAGAUCUGCUCCGAGCGCACAUUCGCGUGGGCAAAGUUGGGCCUUUCAUCGGUCGACUGAGAGAAGUCGUCGGCCGGAUCGACAAGGAGCUUUGGCCUGAGGACAAGUCUCGGCAUGAGAUGGAAGGCUUGAUGACUCGGCUGGAGGAGUGCAGUCAUGGAAGAAGUAUGCGUCUCGCUGUGGUGCGGACGUUGCUUUGUCUCUUGUCCGAGUGCAUUGCAAGGAGGUGCGCGAAGAGAAGCUGAAAGCGUUGCAGGUCGCCAACACGAAGAAACUUCGGUUCGAAGACUUCAUGGAAACCUUCCUUGAGAGCGCCACCCGCAUCGCCGACGGGAUCGAUCUGGACACAUUCGUAGAGCCCGCCAGUCCUAGCGCCAGUCCGGACGACGCUUAAGAAAACUUUUUACCUCGGUAUGCCGAGUGUUGGUUGUAAGAAACUUUGGCCACUGCUGUUGGCCGUCACAUUCUUGGCUCGGUGCGGGUAAGCUUGAUCCACACCGAGCCAACUAUCUUUAGGCGAACUUUGAAUUUGAAUCAAAUCUUUUGCUCUUCUGUUGCCAAAGAGUUGUUGAUACGAUUUUGGCUCGAGUUUUUGUUUGGCAUUUCUUGGUGAAGCCAAUGGCAAACAUGCGGAGCAUGUAAUUGUCAGUUGUCUUGACAUCUGCAUGAGCCUCCCUGAGGGUCUGCUGAUUCUCCGAGUGGAUCUGUAGGAUACACUCGAAGGCAAUAGAGUACUUAGGCGAUUCAUGAUCGCGGCUAAGUCUUCGAGUGCGAAUGUGAGGGCGCACUCGGAUUGAUUUGUUACUCAUGUAAUUGUCAGUGGUCUUGACAUCCACAUGAGCCUCAAUGAGGGUCUGCUACUCAUGUAAUUGUCAGUGGUCUUGACAUCCACAUGAGCCUCAAUGAGGGUCUACUGAGUCCCCGAGUGUAUCUGUAGGAUACAGUCGCAGGAAGCUUUCUCAUUGAAGCGAUUCUUUAUCGCAGUGAAGUCUUCGAGUGUGACGAGUAGUGCACGCUCGGAGAAAAUUUGUACUGAGGCGAUUCUUGAUCACAGCUCAGUCUCCGAGUGCGACGUUUAGUGAACACUCGGAGAAAGUUAUUACUUAGGCGAUUCUUGAUCGCAGCUAAGUCUCCGAGUGCGACGUGAAGUGCACACUCGGAGGAAGUCAGUACUUAGGCGAUUCUGGAUCGCAGCUAAGUUUUUUUUUUGAGACCGGAGUCUGCGACCGCGGAAGAAUUUUGAAUCUGCAAAAGCUCAAUCUGCUUUAUAUUAUUUUACCAAUAGUUGUUCUUUACAUUGCUUCAGUCGACGGUCACGUGUAGAAGCGCUUCAGUAGAUCUCCGUUCCAUGCUCGCGGUUCGUCUGUCUCCCUAUCGAUGUUGUAGAGUCUGUAUGCUCUGUUGUACAGCACCUUGGAGAUGAUGAAGGGUCCUUCCCAGGCAGGAGCCAACUUGUGAGGUCUUUGCCGAUCCACUCGGAGCACCAGGUCGCCUGCUUGGAAUGUGCGACUCCUGGCGUGUUGUGCGUGAAAACGCCGCAGAUCUUGUUGAUAAAUGGUUGAGCGAGUUAGUGCCAUCUCGCGCUCCUCCUCUAGAAGGUCCACUCCGUCUUGUCUUGCUUGUUCUGCUUCAGCUUCAGAGAAGAGUUCGACUCGUGGAGCAUUGUGAAGCAAGUCACUCGGAAGGACUGCUUGUGCUCCGUAAACGAGGAAGAACGGUGAUCACCCUGUAGAUCUGUUCGGGGUUGUGUGAAGACCCCAAAGAACUGAAGGUAGCUCGGUGACCCAUGCGCCAGCGGCAUGUCCCACCUCUCGCAGGAGUCGGGGCUUCAAACCUUGCAGAAUAAGUCCAUUCGCCCGCUCUGCUUGUCCGUUUGAUUGAGGAUGCACCACGGAUGCAAAAUCCACUCGGAUACCUUGGCUUGCACAGAAACCUUUGAAUCUGUCCGAGUCAAAGUUUGUCCCGUUGUCCGUGAUUAUGCUGUGAGGUACACCGAAUCUGGAGAUGAUGUCCCUGACAAACUUGAUGGUUGUUAGGGCGUCGAGCUUCUUGAUGGGCUCGGCUUCAAUCCAUUUUGUGAACUUGUCGACUGCCACCAACAGAUGUGUGUAUCCUCCUUGGCCUGUCCUGAAUGGACCGACUGUAUCUAAUCCCCAUACUGCAAACGGCCACACAAGAGGGAUUGUCUUCAACGCAGAUGUUGGCUUGUGGGACUUGUUGGAGUAGAACUAACAGCCUUCACAUUGGUCGACCAUAUCUUUAGCCAUUUCGUUUGCGUGCAGCCAGAAGAAACCAGCUCUGAAUGCUUUGGCGACGAUUGCUCUCGAAGAGGCGUGAUGACCGCAGGUUCCCGAGUGAAUUCUUCCAGGAUUAACUGUCCCUCCUCUGGGGAGAUGCAUCGUUGAAGAACGCAUGAAACGCUUUCCUCGUACAACUGGCCAUCAAUGACAGUGAACGACUUCGACCUGCGGACUAUCUGCCUGGCCUGGACUUCGUCUUCUGGUAAUUCCUGCCUCAGGAUAUAUGCAAUGAUCGGCACAGUCCAAUCGGGGAUGACAGCAAGAAUCUCCAUGAUCAGAUCAACAACAGUAGGUACAUCGACUUCAGUUGGAUCUGUCAAACUCUUUGGUUGUAUUGGUUCCUCUGUGAAAGGAUCUUCUUUGACUGAGGGAAGGUGGAGGUGCUCGAGGCAGACGUCACUCGGGACUGGUCUCCGAGUGGAUCCGAGUUUUGCCAACUCAUCAGCUGCUUGGUUCUUCAGUCGCGGAACAUGGUGGAGUUCUAGACCUUCAAACUUCUUCUCGAGCUUCCUCACUGCAUUGCAGUAUGUGGUCAUGGUGGGGUUCCUGACGUCCCACUCUUUCAUCACUUGAUUAACCACCAAAUCCGAAUCGCCAUAGACCAUCAGGCGACGGACGCCGAGUGCGAUGGCCAUGCACAGUCCAUAAAGGAGAGCUUCAUACUCUGCCUCAUUGUUGGAGGAAUCAAAGUGUAUCUGCAGCACAUAUUUGAGUUUGUCGCCCUUUGGCGAUACGAUCACAACGCCAGCGCCGGAGCCAUUCAACAUCUUGGACCCAUCGAAGAACAUUGUCCAAUGAGCCGAGUAGAUGUGGGUCGGUUGCUGUUGUUCUACCCAUUCUGCUAUGAAGUCAGCCAGGGCUUGAGACUUUAUAGCUUUCUUGGCUUCGAACUUGAUAUCGCAGUACAACAUCUCCAUUGCCCACUUCGCCACUCGGCCCGACGCGUCGCGAUUGUGGAGGAUUCCCGCCAACGGAGCAUCAGAAACGACAAACACCGAGUGGUCUUGGAAAUAAUGGGCCACCUUCUUCGCAAUCAUGUAAAUCCCGUAGAUAAGUUUUUGAUAGUGGGGAUACCUCUGCUUGGAAGGAGUCAGGACUUCGGAGACGUAAUACACUGGCUGCUGAACUUUGUAUGCUUUGCCUUCUUCUUCUCGUUCGACUGUAAGAACAGUGCUGACGACUUGAUUUGUAGCCGCGAUAUACAGAAGAAGGGGCUCUUUACUGAGCGGAGCAGUAAGAACCGGCUGGGUGGAAAGUAGGACUUUGAGGUCGUCGAAUGCGACUUGGGCUUCAUCUUUCCACUCGAAAGUAUCUGAUUUCUUCAUGAGUCGGUACAGAGGAAGUGCUUUCUCGCCGAGUCGACUGAUAAACCUGCUCAAACCGCUAGGCAACCUGUGAGUCGUUGAACAUCGUGUAUUCUGACCGGCCUCUCCAUGCGGACGAUGGUCCCGAUCUUUUCGGGGUUGACAUCGAUCCCUCGUUCGGAAACGAAGAAACCGAGUAACUUUCCGCUGGGAACGCCGAAUGAACACUUGGCGGGGUUGAGCUUGAUAUCGUACCUACGAAGGUUGGCGAAUGUUUCUGCCAAGUCGGUCAGCAGGUUGGAACCUUUGCGUGACUUGACUACGAUAUCAUCCAUAUAAGCCUCCAGAUUCCGACCGAUCUGGUCGAGGAGGCAUUUUUGGAUCAUGCGCAUAAAGGUAGCUCAUGCAUUCUUCAAACCGAAUGGCAUAGUGAUGUAGCAGAAGCACCCGAAUGGGGUGAUGAAGGCUGUUUUUAAUUCAUCGGGGCCAUACAGACGGAUCUGAUGAUAGCCCGAGUAGGCAUCAAGAAAUGACAAACGCUCGCAACCCGCAGUCGAAUCGACAAUUUGAUCGAUGCGGGGGAGCGGAAAAUGGUCUUUCGGGCAGACCUUAUUGAGAUGCUUGAAGUCGAUGCACAUUCUGAACGACUUGUCCUUCUUGGGCACCAUGACAACAUUGGCGAGCCACUCGGAGUGGUGAACCUCGCGAAUGAAGUUGGCUGCCAAAAGCUUGGCCACCUCUUCUGUGAUUCCCUUCCUCUUGUGCGCGGCGGACCGACGCAGGCGUUCUCGGACAGGCCGAGCGGUGGGAUCCACAUGCAGUCCGUGCUCAGCCAACUCCCUGGGUACACCUGGCAUGCCAGAGGGUUUCCAUGCAAAGAUGUCCCAGUUCUCACGGAGGAAUUGGGUGAGCUCGGCUUCCUAUUUAGGAUCGAGGGUGGUGGAGAUGUUCGUCGGGGCAGCAGUGUCGUCCGUCGGGUGGAUGCUGACCUUUUUCGUCUCUCCCGCCGACUGGAAUGCAGACUCCGGAGCUGGCUUCUUCGAAUGCAUCAAGUCAGCGGGGUCGACUGUUUUCUUGUACUCGUCAAGCUCGAGGACGGCCAUCUGCUGGUCGGCGAUUCUUGAUCCCUGCUGCAAACACUCUUCGGCCCGCUGUCGAUUGCCUGUGAUAGUGAUCACACCUUUCGGGCCUGGCAUCUUCAGCUUCAGGUAUACGUAACAUGGACGGGCCAUGAAACGCGCAUACGCCGGGCGGCCCAGAAUUGUGUGGUAAGCGCUCUGGAAGUCCACCACCUCGAACGUCAGCUUUUCCUUGCGGAAGUUCUUGUUGGAGCCGAAAACGACGUCCAACGCGAUCUGGCCGAGUGACUUGGCCUUCCAUCCAGGGACGACUCCAUGGAACUGCAUGCUUCUCUCACUGAGUUUGGACAUCGGAAUGCCCAUCCCCUUGAGAGUGUCGGCGUACAUGAUGUUCAAGCCACUGACACCGUCCAUGAGGACUUUGCGCAGUCAAACUCCUUCCACCACCGGGUCGACGACCAGAGCCUGUCUCCCUGGGGUGGGUACGUGUGCCGGAUGAUCCGACUGGUCAAAGGUGAUCGCAGUCUGAGACCAUUUGAGGAACUUGGGUUGGUAGGGGUGGCCAUGUUCACCUCCCUGUUCACCAGCUUCAGUCGACUCUUGCUCUCAACGUCAGCAAAAGUCAUCAGUGUUGCAUGGACUUGGGGGAACGGACCCUCCUUAUCCUCCUCGUCCUGUUCAUUGUCCUUUUCACUCGGUUGCCCUUCGCCGAACCCCUGGAUCAGGAGGCGACACUGUCGAGUGGUAUGCUUCGGAUAUAUGGGGUUGCCCUCUUCAUCCAUCUUCGUAUGAAUCGGACACGGCUGGUCCAGGAUGGGAUUAUUGAACUGCUUCUUCUUGGGGGUGAACUGAGCCUUCCCUUUGCCCUUGAACUUGGCGUUGCUUACAGCUGCAGCCUCUGCCUGCGGAGUGGACGGAGCUUUCUGCUUCUGCUUCCGAGUGUUGCUCCCAUCUCCAUCGGCGACUGUUUUGUGCUUGCCGCUUCGGAUGCGGUCCUCUUCUUCGCCAUUUGCAUAGCGUGCCGCUAUCUCCAUCAUCUUGCUCAUGGAGAUGUCGCCUGUUCGGCCAAACUUCAGGUACAGAUCCCUGUACCGCACGCCUACCUUGAAAGUGCAGAUUGCUUGAUGCUCUGUGACGUUCUCCACCGUGUGGUAGAGGGUUGUCCAACGCUGAAUGAAAUCACGCAGGGGCUCAUUCUCCUUCUGGACGCAAUGCUGGAGCUCCACGAGGCCAGCAGGGCGCUUGCACGUCCCUUCGAAGGUCCUGAUGAACACUCGGGCCAGGUCUGCCUAGCUGUAGAUGCUUGAGGGGGCCAACUGGUUCAGCCACGCUCGCGCCGAGCCGUCGAGCAUCAGAGGGAGGUGCUUCAUGGCGACAUGGUCGUCCCCUCCUCCGAUCUGGACUGCCACUCGGUAAUCAUCCAGCCACGUUUCUGGCUUGGACUCUCCUGUAAACUUGCUGAUUCCCGUUGCCAGUCGGAAGUUGGGAGGGAUGUCAGCCGAACGGAUGGCUCGACUGAAACACUCGGGACCAGAAACGAUGGUCCUGCUUCCACUCGGACGGUCAAUAUCGUAACCAUCGCGGUGGGCUCGGCCCCUGUCGACCCUCCGCUGGGCGAUAUGCCCUCUUGCGUCGGGUCUUGGGUCGUAAGUGUCACCGACUGAACGCCGAUCAUCAUGAUGUCGGGGCCCGUACGGCCCACCCCGCGGAGGGGUGCGUGAACGGCGACGAUCUUCGGGGUUUAUGGAACGGCUGUCUCCCCUGUGUCGCCGAUGAGAACCAGGGCUGUGAACUGACCGAUGCGUAUUCGCAUGAACAGAACUAUUGUGGAUCCUGUUGUGCGACUGAGAGACCGCCGAAUUUUGCUGUUGCGUCGUGUGCAACAGGGCACGGAUUUGCUCGAUCCCCCUGCCAGCCUCUGAAUCAGUCGGCUGAAGGGAAUUGGCAAUCUUGGCAGCCGCAGCCAAGUUGAGGAUGGGUGUGCGGAACGACUCCACAUUGCUCCGCCGAGUGUGCCGGCUGGCAGAACGGCGAGGCGGACGACGCGCGCCGGAUGUUUCGCCGAUCUCGUGCUCGUUCCGGCCAGCUUGACGGGGAUCUUCAUGGGAGUUGGCCAUGUGUACUUCUGCUGCAGGCCCGCGACCCGCGUACUCGGAAGGAAACUCAGUCGGAACCGAGUCCGAGCGCUGGGACGGAGGGGCAACCACAACCGACUCUAGGACCGCCACUUGUGAAGACGCGUUCUGGCGUGCCUGGGCGUGUCGCACCCAACGCUGGAGCCGCGGACGGCGGGACCGCUUGUUGCGGCGCGUGACGGCGGUGUAGGUCGACACCGGAGCCGACUGUUGGAGAAGAAGAAGAACGCCGCAGGCGCCGGCACGGAAGUGCGUAGCCCCGUGGCGGGAAAGCGCCUCGAUAUCGAGAGGAGCAUCCCGAAGCCAUGCUGAAUCGUCGAUGAUGAAGGAGAGAGCGCCGAAGAGGAUCUCGUGACCCAUGCUCGAAUCUCCACCGGACGACAUGACGAAACGAUGUAGUCGCAAACUCGCCGGAAGUCGCGUAGACGCCUGCCCCACGGUGGGCGCCAACUGUCGUGGGUAUAAGCCUGACAGUAUAUGUGUAGGGUACGAAAGGAUGGGCAGAGCCUUAGCUACGGCGAGGUUGUAUGAGUUCAGGCCCCUCUGCGGUGGAGGUAAUAGCCCUAUGUCUCAGUGCUCUGGGAGCUUGUUGUCGAGUGGAAUAUAGAAUACAGUGAAUUGCUAACCCCUGCACCAGUGGGGGAGGGUGGCUUAUAUAGAGUGCGCUGCCCUCCACAACGGUUCGGUGCACAGGGGUGGAGUAGUGGCGAAUAAAUGCCUACGUUACAGGUAACGUACGUCUUAAAUGCUAAUAAAGGCACGGGGAAACGUAUGACCGUUUCCCUCCAGGGGGGUUACGAUGCUCGGAGUGGAGUCCAGUCGGUUAGUUUGAUACGCUCCGAAUGCUAGUCUCCGACUGGAUGGUCGAAGACCUGUUACCGACUGGAUGAUGGCAACUCCUUAGUUCAGUCGGAACUGACUAAGGGCCUUGUCCCUUAUGAGGGGUAGUCCUUGGGUAGGACCUAUAGGGCAGGCCUAUGACCCUACCCUAGGACUAUAACCCCAUCAAAGAGAAAGUAAGGUACAGUGCUUUGGCAUUCUCUCUGUUCACAACGCUGAUCCCUCGAUCGUCUGAUCGAACGGGCUCAUAAACAUACAAUUAGUCUCCACUGAAUAUCCUGGUUUCAUGUUGUAUCGACGUGCUUGAUUAGGAACCUUAAUUAUUAGGCUAGACUAGUGCUACGUGUAUUUCUUAGUCAGUCAGUGACCUGAUUAAUCUAAACAUUUGGUGCAUGCAUAUGGUUGGCCAAAACCUAGGACUCUGAACGUCAGAGUACACACUACACGACUAGGACAUGUGGUUUACUUAGUAGACCAGUACUGCAUGCAUCAUUAUCUUUUGCUGUUUAAUUUGGCAGAAAUCACAGAAGCUUAUUUCAAUGGCGCAUGCAAAAAUCCAACGAAACGAUUGAAAACUUGAGUUGCGAGCUGAACGCUCAAUAAUAGAACGAUUUUCCUAUACGCUGCAACUAGCUUGGCUUAUUUCUAAAAAACAUUAUGUUCAUAUUCAGCCCCCAUUGAAAAUUGCCACUGUCCUAUAUUGUUGUCCAUGUAUUACAAUAUAACCGAUUAUUAGCUCAGAGUAGGCAGACCAAAUGGUUAUUAGCUCGAGGCACAAGCAAUCAUUCAGUAUGACAACCUAUCACAUGGUGUCAUCAUACUCUUGGCCGAUGACAAGAAGCAGGUCGAGGACCAGGACCAUCUUACCUUAAAGGAGCAGAGCAGGUCGAGAACGAAGAGGAGCAUCGACACUCUUCGUCGCUGAGGCUAAGCAAGCCCUUUCAUCUCUCCUCCUCGAGAAGGACAAGGCUACCAUAGUCGUUAUAAUACAUGGCUGCAAAGAAGAAGCAGAGUCAAAAUAAAAUGUUAUGACAAAUGAUAAAGAGGUAUUAAUUAAGUACAAACAAUAAAAACUCACAUGUCACAACAAUCAUACUACAAUCACACCUCAAAACUCACAAUAUUGUGAGUGGCCUAUUCUUCCCAGAUCCUGGCUUGUUUGCUGCAAGCACCUCUCCACCAACAUAUAACAACAGAGUUAAUAAAACUAUGUGUGAAGGAAUAAAGUCAAACAUUUUGAACGGAAGGUGUCAAGCAACUGCGGAUGCAUUAGUUACCUCGCGCAUUUUCUGCACUUCAUCAGGAAUACUGCAGUUUGCGGCAGAUUUGUCGAACAUUUCAAGUAUCCUGAAGGCUCGAUUCCUCGCAUCGUUCAUAUCUGAAGCAGACAAUAUCUCCUUGACAAUUAGCUCCGCCCAUUCAGUGUUGUUGGUUGGAGCAUUCAUCACCGGAACAUCACAUGCCACUGCGAUUAACAAUCAUUCUAGUGUUAGACAAUAUGCACACUGUAAGAUUCUUGUUUUGAGAAACUGCAUAUUGUAAGAUUAGUGUUGGUCUACAUAAGUUAUACAUCUUCGGACAUCAUUAUCAGAUAACAAGAGGAACAAGUAGUCAGGCUUAUUUUUCAGUCAUGCCAGCCAUACCUCCAGACGAGGAGGUACCAGCAUUGGUCGUUGCUGAAUCCGAUGCCAAAUAACCCUUGAAGCUUCUGAUGGCAGCAUCCAAGACAUUUCCCGACGCUUCGAGAUAGCCUCACAGAAGCUAAAAAUGCCCCCAAAAUUACUCAUCAGAAUGGUACGGAGCAAUACGGUACACAAGGAUCAGGGCCCUCAAGUCUACUGUUGUGACAUAACAUAAACCAAAGCUAUAUCAGGAUUUCAGAAAACCAUGGUAGAACUUCUGUGCACAAGAGAAACGGAUGUACGUACAUGCUAUUUGUUCUGACAUGUUUAGUUGAGACAUUUUAUUUCUGAAAUCCUAAAUUUAGCCAUCAUACACGCAUAGACAGGAAUCAUCCUCAUGGGAAGCGUUUGGCUCGCGCAAGAGGGGAAUAGUUGUGGACGAUUCUUCUGAACUUUUGAUUUACAAUUCCAUUAAUCUCUAAACUCUAGUCUAGUCUAAUUCAAGAAAUGGGAUAUGAAUCGGCAAAAGAAAAGAAAAAGGAAAUUCCCUGAUUUGUUGAAUUGUAAACCUUUUCAGCGAGUGAUGAUGAUAAACAAAACCAUUUUGCUGAAUCGUAAAAACAGGCAGUGAUGCUUAUCAGGUUGGUAACUUCCCACUGAUGAUGAUAAUAAGAUGGUAACAGUAAUUAGACACUGCAUCACAGCACAAACGAGGAAUCUUACUACCACAUAUCACAGGCUAAUUAUAAGAAACUAGCACAUCUCUACACCUUCAGAUCAAAAACUAGGAAUAGCCCCCCUAUCACCACGGAUGGCACAAAGGUGUGUCCCUGAAGAGGCCGACGAGGCAGGCCCCGGCGCCCUCCUGUAGCACGAAGACGGCAGAGCUCUGAAUAAUGCGGUUUUCACAGCAAAGUUGUGCAUUAAUUAAAGAGAAUAGAAUCAUAUAACCUUGGAACAAUAAGAAACGCAACGGCGGCAGUUGAGUUGAUGUUUGCUAGGUAUACUUCAGGAGUCAUCACUCAUCAACCAUAUCAUGGAGGGCUGAUUUGAAUGGUUAGUAGAGUAGUUUAGUCAAAACAAAAUUUCUGGAUGCACUCUCAUUAGAAAUGCAACAACCAAGUUACUCAACAAAAAGGAAUGAAUACUAAACUUCUGAUAAUUUCGACAAAUGCAAUGGUUCAGAAUAAGAGUAAGACAUACUGUGGGGCUCUAUGUCAAGAAGCCAGUGACCUACAGAUUUCAGAAACUUCCAUUGUUGCACUACCUAGCAAACAUCACGGAGGCAAGCCUACUAAUCAUGAGGUGGACCAAACUGAAAACUGAAAAUCCUAUCAAGUGCAUGGAUCACGCUAAGAAACUGUUGGUAGAUUUUUCAGAUUUACAAACACGUAGCUAAACAAGGGUAACAUCAUGGAGCACAAAAUUAAGAUCAGAUAUCAAACUUUCACAUGACUGAUGGUAACAAGACGGUAAUAAGGUCUCCCACACCAAACAUCCUUGAUAAACAGGAACAUCAACAAGCCCCAAACUGAAACUACUUCCAAAAGAAAUACCCAUCUAAUUCAGAUUCCUUAAAGGGAGGAACACCAGAACAUCAGUCGAUUUAGAGACGGCUCAGCUUAGAUCAUAUGUAGCACAAUAAUAUAUAUCUAAAAAAAGCGAGCAACCACAUUUUGUUUUCGUUCUAGAUUCAUUAGUACAGCCAACUACACCACAUAGCACGUAGCACUGUAGGAACCACAAGUCUGACCAAACUGAAUAUGAAUAGAAGGGCAUGGCAGGCAGCAGAUAAAUCUGAAACCACAUGUGUGCAUGAUAAAGUAAAAGACUGAUGAAAAGGAUUGCAUGCAUGAUUAACUAAACCACAAGUCACUGCAGGUCGUUGGCCCGGCAUGAGGUUCGGCGUUCGACUUUCCUGACAGAGAGCUGCUAUUGUACCCAUGGACAUGGAAUACUCCUCGUGCUGCUAAAUAACAAGAAGGUCUCAUCGCGUCCUGAAGCAGCACAUCACAACGAGUGUGGGGGAGGAAGGUCCAUGGCAUCCUCCUCCGAGGGCGACCUUGAUCUGUUGGAUUUGGGAGGGAGAGGAGAGGUGAGGAAGAACCUACUACAGAGAGAGGGGGAGGGAGGGAUGAUGGUGGUCAUACGAGAUCAGGUGUCAUCAUGUAUGGGCUCCUCCUAUGCUGCGUGCAAGGUCGACAUGGCACCGGGCUUGUCCUCCAUGGCGUCCUCCUUGACCACACGGGACAGGAUGCAAACAAGCAAACAAACAAAAAUGCACAAAACAAUCAGAUUUGAUCCAAAGUAGAAGCAAUCGAGGAGGACGAGCAAGGGAUGAUCCAUAACAGAUCGAUUCUGGUCGCCAUGGCUGGGAUCCUCCUACGCUUGUGCGGGCUAGGGUUUCAGUAUGUGCUGCUGGAAAGAAGGAUAGGGUGGGUCUUGGGGAGAGCAGGUCGGCACCGAUGCCGUGGCCGGCGGGAGGGAUGGGGGAGAGGAGAUCUACGACAGGGUUGGGUUGGGUUGCGGGAGGGGUGGGGGAGAGGAGAUCGGCGGCGGGGUUGGGUUGGGUUGCGGGAGGGAGGUGGAAGACACACAGGAGAGAGACUCGAGUUGGUAGGAGAGGGAGGAGGGUGUGUCAUGCGCUAGGUUUAUCGAGGAGAGGUGAUGAGACGUUGGAUCUGUAGGACAUGGACGGCUCAGAUCGCCUUUACUAGGGUGAUCUGUGGGCUCUAUUCUGAUUGGUUAGACAUGUGCCUUUAUAAACUUGUUUUUUAAGUGUUAAAAACAGAGGAGAUAUAUGAAGCAACUAUCAAAAACAUUUUGCAAAACGGCACCAUUAAUUUUUAGGUGCAUCUUGGAAUGGAAAACAAUGUUGCCUAAGAACGUUUUCAUUUUCAUUGGACGAAAAAGUCAUUUUCCAAUUUUUGACUGUCCAGAAUAAGUUUUUUUGUGAAGGGCCUAUCAUAUAUUUGUUGCAAAAUUGGAUCAAAUCAUUUUUAUAAAAUACUAGGUCAUAUUUAAUGCACAAUUGACCAAAUGAUUGGGUGUCAAAAGCUUUUAUCCACCUCUCGUGAAAAAGACAAAUUUCCGCCGAUUUAACUUGAAGCGAGUCAAAUUUGAACCGCAACUGUCUUAUAGUUUACUCUUUAUUUUUUCCAAAAAUAUUCUCUAGGUACAAAAGUAUCUAUUUAAUCAGAUAAACACCAAAAAAAUUCCAAGAUUCAACCACUAGAUAGGAACGGUCAUACCCGCUGUUUUGACCGUAUUUUGAAACACGCAUGAAAAAUUCAAAACCAAAUCAAAAAAUUGAAAAACCUUCGCAUUGUGCCAUUAAAUAUAACCAAGUUAUGAGGAAAAAUAAUAAACUUGUAAUACGAUAAUUAUUUAAAAAAAUGUUCUGAGAAAUGAGCUAUCAUGUGUGAAGACCACAAACCAGCCCAUUAGCAAGCAUGGAGGAUAAAAUACCAACCCAAUAUAAAAGUAAGAUGAAAAAAUAGCCCAACAGAAAGUGGUAUAAAAAACAGUUCAAUACAUGGAUGAGGUGGGAUAGAAUGAACCCACGAGUGACAUAUCAACAUAGUUAAAACAUGUAACGACAUUUUUAUAAUCGUCAUAAAAGUUAUGAUGAUCUCAUCUUAUGCGGUUACGACGUUUUUGACUCACAUCGUUGUAAUUUGUAUGUAGAUUUGAUCCCCUCAAAAGGUUUACGGCGAUCUCGGAUGAAAUCGUCAUAGAUAUAUGACGAAUUCAUCAACGACAUCUUAAAAAACGUCAUGUAUGAGCAUAUUUCUUGUAGAGGGAGGCAGCCCCACGCCUUAGGGUUUUAGCCCUAGGCGCAUUGGGCCCUUUUGGUGGCUCGCACCAGCCAACGAAGGAGCUGGUUCCCUCCCACUUUCGUCCCAUGUGGUCCUCCCGGGACAGGUGGACCCUCCGGUGGACCCCUGGUACCCUUUCGGUGGUCCCGGUACAAUACCGAUAAACCUCGAAACCUUUCCGGUGACCAAAACUGGACUUCUCAUAUAUAAAUCUUUACCUCUGGACUAUUUUGGAACUCCUCGUGACGUCCGGGAUCUCAUACGGGACUCCAAAAAACUUUUCGUAACCACAUAUACAAUUCCCAUUACAACUCUAGCGCCACCGAACCUUAAGUGUGUAGACCCUAUGGGUUCGGGGUUUGUGAAGUUGGUACUCAACAUGUAACCCCUAUUCCCUAUGUUAGGUUGUUUGUUAGGCCAUUAGGUAAAGUGUCGGAUCAAUUUCCCCAUUGCUCACUCAUACGUCUCCAACGUAUCUAUAAUUUUUGAUGGUUUCAUGUUAUUAUAUUGUCAAACUUUGGAUGUUUUGCGUGCCUUUUAUUUAUUUUUUGGGACUAACUUAUUAACUCAGCGCCAAGUGCCAAUUCCUGCUUUUUUCCAUGUUUUUCACCCCUUUCAGAGGAGAUUUUGAAACGGAAGAAAAUCCCCGAAAAGAUUUUUUUUGGAACGGAAGAAGAUUAGAGAACUUGGGAGGCAAGGCAGGGGAGCCCCAGGGGCCCCACAAGCCCCCACCCCGCGGCCAGGGGUGGUGCGCCAUCCAGGCUUGUGGGCCCCCUGGAGGACUAUAUAAUCCCAAAAAUUCCAGAAAAAAUCAGGAGAUCAUCGAAAGUACUUUUCCGCCGCCGCAAGCUUCUGUCUCCGCAGGAUCCCAUCUGGGGCGCGUUCUGGUGCCCUGCCGGAGGGGGGAUUCGGACACGGAGGGCUUCUUCAUCAACACCAUGACAUCUCCGAUGAUGCGUGAGUAGUUCACCAUAGACCUACGGGUCCAUAGCUAGUAACUAGAUGGCUUCUUCUCUCUCUUGGAUCUUCAAUACAAAGUUCUCCAUGAUCUUCAUGGAGAUCUAUCCGAUGUAAUCUUAUUUUGCGGUGUGUUUGUCGAGAUCCGAUGAAUUGUGGAUUUAUGAUCAGAUUAUCUAUGAAUCUUAUUUGAGUUUCUUCUGAUCUCUCUUAUGCAUGAUUUCAUAUCCUUGUAAUUCUCUUCGAGUUGCGGGUUUUGUCUGGCCAACUAGAUCUAUGAUUCUUGCAAUGGGAGAAGUGCUUGGUUUUGGGUUCAUACCGUGCGGUGACCUCACCCAGUGAUAGAAGGGGUAGCGAGGCACGUAUCGUGUUGUUGCCAUCAAGGGUAAAAAGAUGGGGUUUUCAUCAUUGGUUUGAGAUUAUCCCUCUACAUCAUGUCAUCUUGCUUAANNNNNNNNNNNNNNNUCUCCGAUGAUGCGUGAGUAGUUCACCAUAGACCUACGGGUCCAUAGCUAGUAACUAGAUGGCUUCUUCUCUCUCUUGGAUCUUCAAUACAAAGUUCUCCAUGAUCUUCAUGGAGAUCUAUCCGAUGUAAUCUUCUUUUGCGGUGUGUUUGUUGAGAUCCGAUGAAUUGUGGAUUUAUGAUCAUAUUAUCUAUGAAUCUUAUUUGAGUUUCUUCUGAUCUCUCUUAUGCAUGAUUUCAUAUCCUUGUAAUUCUCUUCGAGUUGUGGGUUUUGUCUGGCCAACUAGAUCUAUGAUUCUUGCAAUGGGAGAAGUGCUUGGUUUUGGGUUCAUACCAUGUGGUGACCUCACCCAGUAACAGAAGGGGUAGCGAGGCANNNNNNNNNNNNNNNNNNNNNNNNNNNNNNNNNNNNNNNNNNNNNNNNNNNNNNNNNNNNNNNNNNNNNNNNNNNNNNNNNNNNNNNNNNNNNNNNNNNNNNNNNNNNNNNNNNNNNNNNNNNNNNNNNNNNNNNNNNNNNNNNNNNNNNNNNNNNNNNNNNNNNNNNNNNNNNNNNNNNNNNNNNNNNNNNNNNNNNNNNNNNNNNNNNNNNCUUACACUUUUUACUUCGUUGCACUUUCCGCCUUCAGAUCUCACUUUGCAAACAAUCUUGAAGGGAUUGACAACCCCUUUGAAGCGUUGGGUGCAAGCUUGUUUGUGUUUGCGCAGGUACUUUGGACUUGACGAGGCCCUCCUUCUGGUUCGAUACCUUGGUUCUCAAACUGAGGGAAAUACUUACUGCUCCUGUGCUGCAUCACCCUUUCCUCUUCAAGGGAAAAACCGACGCAAACCAGAGAAGUAACAAGAAGAAUUCCUACGCGCCAGGGAAGGACUUUUGUUGCCGCAGCAGAAGAAUUUCUGGCUCCGUUGCCGGGGAGGAAGGUCAAGUCAAGGACUCAUCCAAGUAGGUGUCGCAAACUCAUCUCUUGCAUUUACUUUGUUUGCCAGUUGCCUCUCAUUUUCCUCUCCCCCACUUCACCAAAUUGCCUUUUUCGUUUGCCUUUCCUUUCCUUGUGUGCUAUGUUCCUUCAAAAUGCUUGCAUCUUUGCUUGCUAAGAAUCUAGUGAUAUGGAUGCUCAUCCACUUGCUAAUCUUUUCAAGAGGUCCAACUAUGUUGAACAAAUUGCUAGUGAGUUUUGUGCACUAGAUUAUCUUUAUGGAGUUUUGCUUGACAUGCGUGAAUCUGAAAAUUGUGAUGAGGAAAUUUAUGAAGUGAUUCACGAGGGCUCCUUGGAUGAAAAGCAUGAUUACAAUGGUUUCACUAUAAAUUCUAUUAGUGACAAUCAUGCUAAAAAUAUGCAAAACCCUAAGCUUGGGGAUGCUAGUUUUGCUAUGUCCUCUAUUGGUUGCAAUGAUCAUGAUUGGGGUGAUGAUCUUUCUUAUGAUCUUGAAAAUUUGUUUAAGCCUCUUGAUGAAUAUGAUGUUUGCAAUAUUAUUGAAAGUGGGUUUGGAGACGUCAUGACUUUAGUUGAUGAUAAUCCCACUAUUUUUGAAGAGCGUCAACUUUGCAUGCAUGUGGAUCAUGAAAAGAAUAUCCUACAUGAUAGUUACAUUGUUGAAUUUGAUUAUGAUCCCACAUGUGUUUGCUAUGAGAGAGGAAAAUAUUUUGCUAGAAACUUUCAUGUUACCAAAUUACCUCUCGUUAUGUUGAGAUUGCUAUUGUCUCUUUCUUCUUCCUUGCAUUUGGUAACUAUUGGUUGUCUUGCCAAUUUGUUUUCCUAUAAAAUGCCUAUGCAUAGGAAGUAUGUUAUACUUAGAUGUGAUUUUCACAUGCUUUAUGAUGCUCUCGUUGUUCUUCAACUCUUGUCUUUUGUGUGAGCAUCAUUGAUGCCUAGCUAAGGGCGUUAAACAAUAGCGCUUGUUGGGAGGCAACCCAGUGAAUUUAUCUUUUUCUUUCUGUUUUGUUGCGUCCACACUUUCAUAAUUCUGUUGUGAUUGUGUUUUUUGUGUUUCUUUUUGUGUUUGAGCCAAGCAAAACCUUUAUGACUAGUCUCGAUAAUGGUUGUUUGAUCCUGCUGGAAAAAGACAGAAACUUUUCGCUCACGAGAUGAUUUUUCAUUUUUAUUCAGAAAUAGAUUUUGAGUUGAUUCUUUUUGCUGCGGAUAUAUAUGCUUUUUUCCCAGGCCGUCGUAAAUUUUUCAGAUUUUUUGAGGUACCAGAAGUAUAUGAAGUAUACAGAUUGCUACAGACUUGUCUGUUUUUGACAAAUUAUGUUUUUGUUGAGUUGGUUGCUUGUUUUGAUGAAACUAUGGUUAGUAUCGGGGGGUACUAGCCACGGAAAAGUGAGAAUACAGUAGCCCAUCAUCAAUAUAGAUGGAAUUCAAGUUUGCUACAGUACCAAAAGAAGUGGUAGUUUGUUUUCUUGUACUAAUGUUAUCACAAGUUUCUGUUUAAGUUUUGUGUUGUGAAGUUUUCAAGUUUUGGGUGAUGUUCUCAUGGACAAAGAGAUAAGGAGUGGAAAGAGCUCAAGCUUGGGGAUGCCCAAGUCAUCCCAAGCCAAAUUCAAGGACACCAAAAAGCCUAAGCUUGGGGAUGCCCCGGGAAGGCCUCCCCUCUUUCGUCUUCAAUCCAUCGGUAACAUUACUUGGAGCUAUAUUCUUAUUCACCACAUGAUAUGUGUUUUGCUUGGAGCGUCUUGUAUCAUAGGAGUCUUUUCUUUUUGUUGUGUCACAAUCAUCCUUGUUGCACACCUUCUUGAGAGAGAGAGACAUGCACUCAUCGUGAUCUUGCUAGAAUGCUCUAGUGCUUCACUUAUAUCUUUUGAGCUAGAUACUUUUGCUCUAGUGCUUCACUUAUAUCUCUUGAGCUAGAUACUUUUGCUCUAGUGCUUCACUUAUAUCUUUUGAGAUAGAUACUUUUGCUCUUGUGCUUCACUUAUAUCUUUAGAGCACGGCGGUGCGUGAUUUGGUAGUUGGCUUAUGCUAUGGAAGUAGUCCCAAUUGUGCUAGGUACCCAAAGAGGAUGCAAAACCCUCCAUCUUCAUGUGCAUUGGGUAGAAAGAGAAGUUUCGAUUCCUAUCAAUUAGUUUUGAGACAUGGAUUCGGUAAUAUUAAGAGUUAUGUUAGUAGGGUGUUGUGAAUCUAGAGAUACUUGUGUUCGAGUUAGUGAUUCCCGUAGCAUGCACGUAUGGUGAACCGCUAUGUUAGGAAGUCGGAGCAUAAUUGAUCUAUUGAUUGUCAUCCUUUGUGUUGAGGUCGGGAUCGCGCGAUGGUUUACACCUACCAACCCUUCCCCUCGGAGUAUGCGUUUAGCACUUUGUUUCGAUUACUAAUAAAAACUUUCGCAACAAGUAUGUGAGUUCUUCAUGACUAAUGUGAGUCCAUGGUAUAUAUGCACUUUCACCUUCCACCUUUGCUAGCCUCUCUAGUGCCGCACAAUUCUCGCCGGUGCACAAGCCCACCAAAUUCCUUCCUCAAAACAGCCACCAUAUCUACCUACUAUGGCAUUUUCAUAGCCAUUCCGAGAUAUAUUGCCAUGCAACUACCACCGUUUCGUCUCAUGACUUAUGCUGUCACUCUCAUAUUGCCAUUGCAUGAUCAUAAGAUAGCUAGCAAGAUGUUUCAACGUCAUACGCCAUGCUAGAUCGUUGCACAUCCCGGUACACUACCGGAGGCAUUUCCUAUAGAGUCAUCACCAUUUUGAGCUGUGAGUAAAUAAAGGUGUGAUGAUCAUCCUUAUUAGAGCAUUUUCCCAUGUGAGGAAAUAAAAAAAAAGAGCCCAAAGAGCCCAAAAACAAAAAAAGGGAGAAAAGAAGAGAAAAAAAAGGGAGGCCUAAGAGCCCAAAUGAAAAAAAGAGAAAAAAGAGAAAAAAGAGAGAAGGGACAAUGCUACUAUCUUUUUCCACACUUGUGCUUCAUGUUAGCACCAUGUUCUUCAUGAUUGAGAGCUUCUUGCUUUGUCACUACCAUAUGCUAGUGUGAAUCUUCAUUUUAUAACUUGGCUUGUAUGUUCCAAUGAUGGGCUUCCUCAAAAUUUCCCUAGGUCUUCGUGAGCAAGCAAGUUGGAUGCACACCCACUAGUUUUCCUUUUGAGCUUUCACAUACUUAUAGCUCUAGUGCAUCUAUUGUAUGGCAAUCCCUACUCAUUCACAUUGAUAUCUAUUAAUCGGCAUCUCCAUAGCCUAUUGAUAUGCCGAGUCAGUGUGACCAUCUCCUCCUUUUUUGUCUCACAACCACCACCACACUCUAUUCCACCUAUAGUGUUAUAUCCAUGGCUCGCGCUCAUGUAUUGCGUGAUAGUUAUAAAAAGAUUGAGAAAGUAAGAGUGCGAAAACAAUUACUUGGCCAAUUCCGAGGUUGUUCAUGAUUUACAUUAGUUGUGUGAGGAUGAUGGAGCAUAGCCAGACUAUAUGAUUUUGUAGGGAUAACUUUCUUUGGCCUUGUCAUUUUGAAAGUUCAUGAUUACUUUGCUAGUUUGCUUGAAGUAUUACUGUUUUCAUGUCAAUAACAAACUAUUGUUUUGAAUCGUACGGAUCUGAACAUUCAUGUCACGUGAAAGAAGUCGCAGAGGACAACUAUGCUAGGUAGCAUUCCACAUCAAAAAUUCAUUCUUUGUCACUUCCCUACUCGAGGACGAGCAGGAGUUAAGCUUGGGGAUGCUUGAUACGUCUCCAACGUAUCUAUAAUUUUUGAUGGUUUCAUGCUAUUAUCUUGUCAAACUUUGGAUGUUUUGCAUGCCUUUUAUUUAUUUUUUGGGACUAACUUAUUAACUAAGUGCCAAGUGCGAGUUCCAGUUUUUUCCAUGUUUUUGACCCCUUUCAGAGGAGAUUUUGAAACGGAGUCCAAACGAAGGAAAAUCCCCGAAAAGAUUUUUUUGGAAUGGAAGAAGAUCGGAGAACUUGGGAGGCAAGGCAGGGGAGCCCCAGGGGCCCCACAAGCCCCCACCCCGCGGCUAGGGGGCGCCAUCCAAGCUUGUGGGCCCCCUAGAGCUCCCCUGACCUAGGUCUUUCGCCUAUAUAAUCCCAAAAAUUCCAGAAAAAAUCAGGAGAUCAUCGAAAGUACUUUUCCGCCGCCGCAAGCUUCUGUCUCCGCAAGAUCCCAUCUGGGGCACGUUCUGGUGCCCUGUCGGAGAGGGGAUUCGGACACGGUGGGCUUCUUCAUCAACACCAUGACCUCUCCGAUGAUGCGUGAGNNNNNNNNNNNNNNNNNNNNNNNNNNNNNNNNNNNNNNNNNNNNNNNNNNNNNNNNNNNNNNNNNNNNNNNNNNNNNNNNNNNNNNNNNNNNNNNNNNNNNNNNNNNNNNNNNNNNNNNNNNNNNNNNNNNNNNNNNNNNNNNNNNNNNNNNNNNNNNNNNNNNNNNNNNNNNNNNNNNNNNNNNNNNNNNNNNNNNNNNNNNNNNNNNNNNNNNNNNNNNNNNNNNNNNNNNNNNNNNNNNNNNNNNNNNNNNNNNNNNNNNNNNNNNNNNNNNNNNNNNNNNNNNNNNNNNNNNNNNNNNNNNNNNNNNNNNNNNNNNNNNNNNNNNNAACCAGAGAAGUAACAAGUAGAAUUCCUACGCGUCAGGGAAGGACUUUUGUUGCCGCGGCACUCACCACACCAUCGAUUUUGCCUAGGUAAUUAUGAAAGAAGAGAAGAAGAUGGUAGUUUUGCCUAUGGUUCAGGCAUGGCUCAUGUUGAUCCAUAAAAGAGAUGUUCGUCCUGGUGACAAGCAUGUCAUCCGUUAUGCUCCAAUGCUAGCUCGGGAUAAGGAGAGGAUAACGAAUCUAAACCACAUCUACAACAACAAUGACACAUAGGUUGUGUGGAUGCUAAGAAUGAUAAGAGCAUCUUUCACCAGGCUUGUGCAAAUCUUUAGAUUAGGGGCUGCUAUAAUAUAGCAUCCACACUGGUGUGGAAGAGCAAGUUGCUACGUUCCUCCAUGUUAUCGAACAUAGCCGGAGGUUUAGGAUUAUCCACAACACGACCAGGAGAUCAAUGGAUACCGUUUUCACGUACUUUAGGCAAGUGACGUAUGUUGUUGGGGAACUCAGAGAAAAUAUGACCAGGUCACCAACCGACCGGACUCCUAGUAAGAUACGCACUAGCCCAAGAUGGUAUCCAUAUUUCAUGGUGAGCACCGACAGUAUGUAGUUCAUUCCUGGACAUGCUUGUAUUGUUCUACUAUAUCGAUUACACCAUCUCUUCAUGCCAUUUUAGGAUUGCAUUGGGGCAAUAGAUGGUACUCAUCUCACUACUUGAGUUCGGUGUUAUAAUCUGCAACAUACAUGAGGAGAAAGCACCACACAAGCCAGAAUGUUCUUGUUGUUGUUGACUUUGAUCUGAAGUUUACAUAAUUGCUAGAUGGAUAGGAAGGAUCCGCACAUGCUGGUAACAUUCCAGCUGACAACAUGAGUACACCUGAUGACAUAAAUAUCCCCGAUGGAAUGUUCUACCUGGAAGAUACUAGCUAUGCAUGCCAGCCAGGUGUUCUUCCAUUCAGAAAAAUCAGGUACCAUCUAAACGAGUUCGCCGGUAGAAACUAUCCUAGGUCUCCACAAGAACUAUUUUAUCUUAGACGCUAUAGCCUUAGAGUUAUGGUUGAGUGGGCAUUUGGAGCUAUGAGGAAUAUUCUUAAGAUCCUGAAUCAAAAGUCAUUCCACACUUUUCCCAAACAUGUUAAGCUUAUUCUUACUUGUAGCAUUUUGCAUAACUGAAUCGUGUAAUGGGGUUGUGAUGACCUGACGUCGGAGGAGGAAGAGGUGACGCGUGAUGAUGUUGUCAGCUCUAACCAUGGUGUGGAGGCAUUUGACGAUGAAGCCUGAAAGAACAAAAAGAUGGAGUGUGCACAAGCAAUAUGAGAUAACACAGCUAAGACGAGGAUCUGAAGAAGAAGAGGAACAACAAGAACGGAAAAGAAGAAGCGACGACAAAAGAAGAAACAACGACGACAAAAUAAGAAUAAGGCAAGGAUGGACUUCCAACUAGUUCGGCAUCGGUGAACUAUCCCUGUUGAGUCAUUUGACUGUUUAUUUGUAAUGAUAUUUUCUAAUAGUUAGAACGAACUGUGAUUCCUUUUCUAAUUAGGACUGAAACUAUGUCCGGAUCGUACAUGAUAAGGUCAUCGCUAAUGAGAAGUGAUGAUAGCGCCUUAUACAGUUUGCAACCAAACGACUUAGUUUGUGCGUCCUAUGCAACGUAGACAACCAAACUAACAAGUAAAUAUUGUUUCCCUCACGUAGCCAAUCUUGAUGCAGACAAUCAAACUAUAUGCAGAUGAUCUCUAACACAGUCCCAUCUAAGAUGUAAAGAAAGAGAAAAAUGAUACAGUCAACCAAACACGCCAUAAACCAGGGCCCUCGCUCACAUCGUCGAGGUACCGGUGCUUGGCAUGCAGAUCCGACCUCGUACGAAUCGCAACACCCCGCUUGACCUGUUGGCUGCGCGCUGCUUGAGGUAAGGCCCUCGGGACGGGAGGGAGGGAGGAGGGGCCCAAAGCCUCUCGUCUCGUCUCGCACCACAAAAAGGAUCGCGUGUCUCGUACACCGUGGUUUUUAAUCACUCCCCUCCUUCCUUCUUUCCUGGAGCUGGAGCUCUUUACUCCACUCUCACUACUCACUCGUCACACGCCACUCGAUCCCAUUCCAUUCAGCGCACAAGCCCAGCAGCAGCAGCGGCAAUGACGCCGCGCGCGUCGUGAGACAGACCUACAUACAGGCGGUGUUGGCGCUCGCUGGCGGUGGGGGGGCGAUUAACCGGGCCAGUCUGCGCGCGGGCCAUGGCGGGCGGCCCGGCGAUGGCUCCUGCGGCGGCGUGGUGGCCAGGCGCGGGGGCGGGGGCGCAGGAGCACGAGGAGAUGCGGUGGCGGCAGCUGGAUGGCGGCGUCAGCGCGGUCUCCUUCGGCUUCGUCGCCACGGCCAUGCUCGUCUCCAUGUUCCUCGCCAUGGCCGUGCUCGAGCACUUCCUCCGCGCCCCGCCCAUGGGCCCGCCGGAGCCCUCGCCAUCGCCGCCCCGAGGCGGGGUCCUCCUCCGCCUCCUCCGCCGCCGCGGCGCCGGAGGCAGACCCCCCGGCGCGGAUCUCGAGGCGGCAGGGAAGCUCGACGCCGGACGCGCGUCCCCCGAGGUACCACUACGACGGCACUGCUCCCCCCGCACGCCCCGCCGCCGCCCCCAUUCCCCAUCCGCUCCCGCCUCCCCCCCGCUUUUCAUGAUUCCGUCGUCUCGCCCUUUUUUUACCCUUUCCGCGUCGCUUUUACUGCUCACCGUGCGUGUGGCUGUCUGUGUGCACUUGAGAGUUGAGGCCGACCCAGAUUGCGCAUCAUUUCGUUCCUCCACCACACUCGACUCCGCCAUGAUGCAUCGGCCAUGGCUAGGGCCAGGACCUAGGAGGGAAGCAUCAGAGGAGGAUGCCCAUUGCCCAAGCAGGGACCAAGAGAUUCCUGCCUCGAUUUUUAUGGUGGCUCAAGAAAGUAUCUUAAUAACAUACACAUCAAAGGAGCACAUUUUGAUCUGCAGCGCCGAACCAGAUCUUGCUGAUGUGGUUCAUCACUUGAUCACAGCUCAUCUUCGUCAGUAGUUCAUAGUAGCAGCGUAUCCAUCCAUUAUAGUCGAAGUGAUGUUAAGUUCGUCCAAACUCUGAAACAACUCAUUAAUUAGCUUGGUCGAGAUGUGUCCUACUGCUAGUACCUCAACCCCACAGGUCUCUGUUAAGCCACAACUCAUUUAAUUAGCCUGGUCGGGAUGCCCCACUGCUUCAACCCCACAGGUCUCUGUUAAGCCGUUAGCCACAUCGAUUUCUCCUGUCAUAUUAGCCCUACACAAGUACCAGCUGCAGCUGCUGUCUCAGCAGUUAAUCAUUCAUCAUUAUUUAGAUCGCUUUAUGCUAAGUGGCCACAUGGUGUUUUUUCAGGAAAAUGAGUUAAGAGUAGAUUGAUCACAGGGGUGGAUCUUCCUGAUGCAAUCGAUUUCUAUCCUUCUGUACUCUCUCUUGUGGAUAAGUUCAGUUGGCACCUUCAUAUGGCUUGUAGCAACAUUCUUGUCCAUUUUGUAUGGUGUGAUAUGUAGUGGUAGAAGACAAGGGGAGUUGCUAUUUAAGAUCAUGGGUUGUGGAAUUGAGAGGGGGGUUUGGCAGACAGUGUGGAACAGACAAGGCCCACCCCUGUCUGCACCUAACAACAAGGUCUAAAUCACAUUCUAGCUUCCAAUAUUUGUUCUCCAUCCAAAACUCAGACAGCCACAGCCUGCAGGCCCCAGAUGAUGUGGUCAUCAUUUGUUUGCUCGCUGUCAAAUGUGGAACCUCCUGUUACUAAGAUGGACCAGCAUCACAAUUUACUUUGAGCUUGUACUGUGCCCCAUCAUGGAAAUCAAGAAAGUCAGUUAAUUAAACACGGGAGGAGCGUUGAAGUACGGAGUAUAAAUGGUGCCCUUGUCUAAGAACUUGACUUAACCCUUAGAAACUUGAUGCUAGACUUCACACAAAAAUAAGGGGUUGUCUCUUGCUCGCUAGCUGGGCCGUACCAUGAGCUGCUCGCAGCCAUGCUCACAGGGUUCGCCUCAGUGGUGCAUGACUACGCGCAGCUCCUUUCCGUCGCUCCUGCUGGUCGGCAUACCCAGCAUACCCUUAGUUGUGCCGCCUGUUUGUUGUUCGCCGAGAGAUUGAGGGAGGCGUUAGGGGCUUAAUGAAUGAGCAUGCAAGGAGGAGUAUUUUUAUUAACUACUAGUAUAUUAUAAGUUUGAAAUAUUGAUUGGAGGAGUAUUUUUAGUAACUGUAGUAUAUUAUAAGUUUGAAAUAUUGAUUGGAGGAGUAUUUUUAGUAACUAGUAUGUUGGAAGGUAUUGUAAAAGGGAAUGAGGUUGAUUGAGCGCCGUCAAAAUAUGAAAUUCAGUAUUUUUCUGUAGUCUUUCUGAAAUCUGCCAAAUCACCUUUCUGCUAUGAUAUAGAAAAACAAAAUGAUAUAUCACCUGUUACCGACCCUGUCUAGCCAUCUAACGUGCCAAGUAUAAGCCACCACAUAUAAAAUUCAGUAUUUUUCUGUAGUCUUUCUGAAAUCUGCCAAAUCACCUUUCUGCUUCUUCCAUGUUUUCAUAGUGUGUUUGUCAAUAACAGCAUCGGGUAUUGAGCUUUGUUCCCAUUGUCUGCAAUGAACGUUAUCAUCCAGCUAUUAUGUUAUAUUUCAUUUCUCGAUGACAGGUCAUUCAUGGCCGUUACUGAAUCUAGACCAUCAGUCCCAGCUUCCAUCCAAGUUCAGAUAAAUUUCUGAUCAGUUCUUGGGUAGUAGGGGCUCCAGUUCCACCCAAUUCCAGGUUAUCAUUAUUCAGGUUGCAUACCAUAGUGGAUGUUGAUCCUGGCUCUAGGACCUGCUCGAGAUGACCCUGGAACCAAGUAGCAAAGGUGUCUUGAUGGCAGAUUGGCAGCCACACCUCAGGGGGAGGAGGAGAAAAAUGGAAAAAUAUAGUAUAGUACUCCCUCCGAUCGAAAUUAAUUGAUGCAGCUCUAGUGCAACUUUGUACUGAAGUUGUACUAAAGCUGCCUCAAUUAAUUUGGAUCAGAGGGAGUACUACGUUUUUUUCUGCUUAAUCCAACCAAAAGAAGUGCCAAUCCUUAUAUCGGAGGUGCUUGCCCCUAACACAAGUAACUAAUCUUACCUUUCCUAACUUAUACAAAUAUAAAGAAAACAAACUUUGGGGAGAUGAACCUUUGUAGCUGCGGUGCAAAUGAAAUUCCCUUUAUUUUAUUUUCCAGAUUUAAUUGUAGUCAGAUACACACUCUAAAGCAAUAGCAGUAUGCUAGAACAGGCAUCUGGUAGACGUAGCAUCGAUAACUCAUCUUAUGCACAGUUGUUCCACCAUCUAUGGACCUAUUUACCCGAAUAUUGACAUACCAUACAUCCAAUGAUUUUUCAUCAUCUGUUUCAGUUUUGCAGUUGGGUUGGGUUAAUUUGAUUCGAUUGGUUCUUGGGGAUGUUAUGGCAUCUUGUUUUUUGUGUUGAUAUUCAUUCUGCUUCCCUUCUCACAAUCAUAUGAAAAUAAAAAAUACAACUGAUUAUGAAAGCAAAACAUCCCUCCUAUUUCUGACUACAUACACAUUCUUACUGAUUACUUGGCUUAUAUGUGGCUUUGCAGAUGCCUGUCUAUUCCAAAGGGGUAUCCGUCCUGAUGCCGGGACAGGACGUGCCGACGUUCAUCGCGCAUCCCGCGCCUACGCCCUGCCCCCCGGAGAGGGUCCGAUGGCCAUCGCACCAGCCCGCUCCGUUCGCCGGUUCCUCAUCAAAUCCAAGCUAGCGCGUGGCUGCCGGACCGAGCACCGAGCACCCUUCUGUCUGUCUCACCAUCCAAGGGAAGGGGUAAAAUGCCGGCGGAAUGGCGGCGGUCCACAGGAGCACACCUCUGGUUUCUUCUGUGGCCAUGUCACCUCCGGCGCCUUGGUGGAACUGAAGAGGUUCUCUCCAUGCGUUGUACAGUUUAGAUGUCUGUUGCGGAGCAAGUUUUGGUAGCUCCUGCUGCCUGCCUGUAUUAUGGCGGGAGAAGAGCGGCUAGCCUGGUGGAUCAAUGGAAUUGUUGCCGAUCCCGCUUGCUCGGCUAGUGGUGUUUAGAUGCUUUCGUUGUCGUUGGUUAUAGAGUCGGUCGUAGAUGUGCGUCAUGGAUGGAUGUACUUGUACACGUCUUGUGUAAUUUCGUUGCAUAAAUGACUUGAGCCUAUUGGAGCUGAGCCCCCAUCAGCCUCGUAUCGUAUCAUUGCGCAGAAAAGGAAAAAAAGCCUCGUAUUUGCCAAGCUCGUGGUCACAAAUUACAUAGAGUAGUAUUUAAGUUUUUUUAAUAAACUAGCACAAAUGCCCGUGCGUUGCAACGGAAGACAUUGUUACAUGUCUUAUGACUACAGCUAUUUUUCUCUUUUCUCGUCUCAGUUUGUCAAACGUACAUGUGUUACAAUUGAAUAAAAAAAAUUCUUUAGAUUCCUACUGUUUCCGUAUAUGCUUUUUGAGGAGAAAAAAUGGCCAGCUUGAUUUAUGAAGCAAGUUAAAUACCUCAACAGGUUAUUAACACCUUUUAUUAUGCUCACCAAUGUUUCAUAUAUUUUCAUUUUAAUUACUCACUCCGUUUUUAAAUUUGUGCGCCAUAUAUUUAAAUUUGUGCGUGAAAUAACAGCCCUUAAAAGCGCCCCUCACAGUUCUGUGUUUUACUAAUGUAAAAAAUAUGCUCAAUAGAGAAAAUAACAAAAUAAGCUUAUGUGGGAUCGAAUCGAUGACUAUGGGUUAAAAGCGUUGAGCUCUAGCCAUUUGAACUACUAAUAUGCUAAUGGUAAAUUUGUAGUCCGCUGGUUAAUAACCAUAGUAAAGCGUAGCCACUUUACAAAGGAAAAACGAAACGUUUGGUUAAUUACACUUUAUUUAUUUAUUUAAUUAUUCUUAUUUGUUUUUUUUCCUUCGUAGGUUUUAUUGGUUCUUUAUUACACUUUAUUUUUUGUAUGUUUCUUAGUUUUGUUGGUUUUUCUUGUUUUUGCACUGGUAUUCCUCGGGUUAAUCACUGAAUUUUUUAUUUUUACCGGUUUUGUGUUUCUUUGUCAGUUUUUAUUUAUUUCCUUUCUUCUUAUUUAUCUUCAGUUUUUAUUUCGUACAUUUUUGGUUUUCAAUGAUUUUUUUUUCCUUAUUACUUUAUUUUUUCUCUGUUUUCACUAUUUUUUAUUAUUGCUAUGUUUAUCAUUUGAAAACAUAAUUCAAUAAACCAAGGAAGAGACAAUCAACAUAUAUAUAGAAGCAUCUCAAGAAAAAGAUAUGUCCACCAAUAAAUAAUUGAAUCUCAUUUGUGAAAUACUGACAGCAAAUGUAGAAUACUGAUAGUUGGCACUUCAUAUGACAAUGAGAAAAUAAACCACUCCUAUAAACUCUUUUGUUCUCGUUAUUAUUCACAUGCUUAGCUAAUGUUCAGGUUUUUAGGAUAAAUCAUAAAUAACCAUAACCAUGAUAACAGUCAAGCUUAUCGGGUUUAUUCCGCCUACCCUAUGAGAUAAAGGCAAAAAAAUGGAACAUGUUCUGUGGAUCUGUGCACAUCAAACUUUGCAAUGUGUGGUACAUAAAGGACAAUUUAGAAUAUACAUAUAUCCUGAUACCUAAUUGUUACUUGCUUUCUCAUCUCCCAUGUGCACUCUACAUAACAUAUGCAUACAUUACAGGCUUCAAGCGUUCAUGAAUUUCUUCAGCAAAUUUAACAUUAUCACAGAGUAAGUCAAACUUGUGACCCAGCAUGCUAAGGGAAACAAAUUCUAAUAGCAAACAGUGAAACUCCCCAAAACUGUCAGAUUGCUGAAAUAUAUCUCUAUUUCCUGUGCUGGUUAAUCUUCGGAUUCUGACUCACCCUUGCAUUCCUCGCAUAGACAGGUCAUAUCCUCCUUUAAUAUUCAAGUCUAAUAAGAGCAGGUCCUCAAUUUUCAGGGUGCAUUUGGCAUUCUUCGCCUCCUGACUUCGUACACGGUAGAGCUGAAAAUCCAAAUUAUUAUCAUGAAGAUUGUCAUCAGAUAUAGCUUUCACCGGCUGUUCAGUGCUUUCUUCAUACACAUGUGUUCCAUUGUCUGACAAGCCCGGAAGGGCUAGGUUAAAGUCUGUAAGCUGUGAUCUAGCAUUUUCUAGGCCAGCAGAUCCAUUUGCAUCAAAGGAAAUGUUUUCUUGAGCUUUCUCUAGUAUUUCCUUUAAAUAUCUCACUUGAGCCUCUAUUCGCAUCUGCAGCUUCUUCUGCACCUGAUCACAGAAAUAAGCAUUUUUUUAGGCUGAUACAAGCAUUUUUAACCUAUAUGGUACAGAAUUUGGUAGUAUAAGCAGUGAUGCACAACUUUUCUAACCUCAAGUUGUUCACACAAUUCUCUUUGGACCUGGAUUUGAUACCUGAGGGUGUCCUCAAGCGGCAUUUAUCUGAUUCAUAUAAGAAAUGUUUUGAAAAUGGUUAGUUAAAUCAUCAUACAGUCUCAACUGAUGAAAAAGGCACAUAGAAGACAUAUGACAGUAAGUAAUCAGUAGGAUUCCCUCUUUGUGACUCUAUAUAAGGAACUUUGCAUAUAUACUUAUGGAAGGGCAAAAUUAAUCACAACCAAGAAAAGCUAGUGAUUGCUACUAACUUGUACAACUACUAAAGAUCUCACUUUUCAGUUAUACAUGAGUAUCUCUAAUACCAAUGCUGGUUUAAGUUCUGUCCUGCAGGCAAAAACAAUAGUGCUUGAUUUCUAUAUAUGCCUGGUGAUCAUUGAGGAUUUAGCUCUAGCACAUGAUGCCUUAGCGCAUGGUUAGUCUCAAAUUUAAGUUGACAGCUUGAUUGCCCAACACAAAACAAAGAACCGUACUGCACUGUCGACGGCAAAAAUUAGUCGACCUUUUUCUUUAAAAUUAUGCUUUGAACAGUACUACAAAAUCAUUGGAGGGACAGGAAAACAGAGUAUGUAGUACUCAUCUAAUCCCUUAAGUGUUCAGAUUCAUAAGUAAAUCGCCUUAGUUCAGUCCAGGGAAAACUUACAAGAUAAUUCAACAUCAUUUGUCUUUUUACGUAGACACAAUUUAGUAGAUUAAUUGCCUUCAGUAUUUUGCGUCAAACAAUGUUAAGCAGUAAUAACGUAGUAGUAUAAGCAUCAUGCAACCAGAAUCAAAUGGAGAACAGAUGAGAAGGAAAUAGAAACUCACCAGUCGAGUCCAUGUCGUAAACCUUGACAUCCAUGCGUUCAACCGCUUCGCCAGAUGAUCAUACCUCCCACUUCCAAAUCGAUACACCAAACCAUCAGCUACCGGCGACAUGAUUUACUGUAAUUUUUGAGUAAGCAACAGAGAAGAAGGGGAUCAAAUUCUCAGCACGACGGCGGCCUUGGCCUUCUUCCCAGAGGAAGACGCCGAGACGGCGUCCGCGAUGGCGGCCGAGUCCACCUGGGGCGCGCGCCAUCGGAAGGGCAGGAGCAGGAGCAGGAACAGGAGCAUCGGCUGGAGCACGGUGAGGAUCCGACGCAGCGCGAGCAGCGACAGCAGCGCGCUGAUCCUGCCCGCCGCGUCCGCCGCCUGCAUGCUCCCGGCCAUCCCUCUGCUCUGCCCCUCCUCCGUUAGGUCCAGGAGCGCUGGCGAGGCUGGCGAGGUCAACGGGGUGAGGCGACGCUGGCGAUAUGGAUCCCCGAUCCAGAUCGGGUCGGCGAGGCGGCGACGCGAUGCAGGGUCCAGCGCGGGAUGAUGACUGCUCUUGUGGCCGGAUCUGGCGAAGAACGACGAUGAGCGGCGGAGGUCCAUGGCCAUGGCGGUCCUGCGGAACAGGGGAAGAGAGACCUCAGAUGAGAGAGAGGGAACGGGAGAAAGGAGAAGGAAGGCGCGGCGCGGGCUGCCAUGGUCGGGAUCCGGGCGGAGGAGCUGUCGGUGCUCCGGCGGCGGCAGAGCUCCAAUGAACGCCCACCGGAGGCGGUAUCGGGUGUGCGGCUUCGGGAGGAAGGAGAAGGAGCUCAGGGGCUGGCGGCGGCGGCGGAGGGCUUUUUUACAAAAAAACAAAACGUUUUCUUCCACUUACUAUAGGAUUGCGGGUUGAUUUCAAUAAGCCUCAGGGGCUUUUUUUGCAGAAAAACCAUGACGGACGACAGAAGUGCUGCGCGCUUUAUUAUUAGGGGAGAUACAUGGUCUACAUAUCUCUACAAUUAAAGGGGGAUCUGCCGUCGUGAUAGUUCGACCUUCCUUCCCCGUCGUACGAGUUCCCCUCCCACCUAUCGAUCCCCCGACGCGAUUGCAUCGUUAACUUCUUUUUUGUUUACCGCGACCCACCCACGAUCCCGCACGUCCUCUGUGAAUCCACCCCACAACCGCACACCCGCACGCGUCCCGGAUCCCGCCCCCGCUCCAUCGCGCCCAUGCGCCGUCACCUCUCUUGCGCCACCGCGCCCGCUCCCGGCCAUCACGCCCGUACGCCGCCACCUCUCCCGCACCACUACGCCCUAGCCCUGCUCGACACUCCCGUAUCCGCCCCCGCCGCCCCGCCCCGUCGCUCAUCCCUCGUCGUCCGCCACGUCGCUGAGCCCCCGCCGGGCCGUCCCGCCGCUCAUCCCUUACCGGCCGCCCCGUCACUCCUCCUCCGCUCGUGCCACCGUACUCGCGCCGCAUCAUCGCUUUCGUGCUCAUUCCAUGUAAUGCCCCAAGUUUAACCUUGUCAUAUUUGGAACCUUCCANNNNNNNNNNNNNNNNNNNNNNNNNNNNNNNNNNNNNNNNNNNNNNNNNNNNNNNNNNNNNNNNNNNNNNNNNNNNNNNNNNNNNNNNNNNNNNNNNNNNNNNNNNNNNNNNNNNNNNNNNNNNNNNNNNNNNNNNNNNNNNNNNNNNNNNNNNNNNNNNNNNNNNNNNNNNNNNNNNNNNNNNNNNNNNNNNNNNNNNNNNNNNNNNNNNNNNNNNNNNNNNNNNNNNNNNNNNNNNNNNNNNNNNNNNNNNNNNNNNNNNNNNNNNNNNNNNNNNNNNNNNNNNNNNNNNNNNNNNNNNNNNNNNNNNNNNNNNNNNNNNNNNNNNNNNNNNNNNNNNNNNNNNNNNNNNNNNNNNNNNNNNNNNNNNNNNNNNNNNNNNNNNNNNNNNNNNNNNNNNNNNNNNNNNNNNNNNNNNNNAAGUGGUGUGCAAAGCUUGGGUUUAACUAUGUAGUUUUUCAAACUAGAGUUCAAAGGAAGCCCCCUUCUUCCUUAUUUUCUUGAGCUCAAGAUUUACUUGCUCUGAACCUGAUUUUCAAAUGUAGAUCUAUUAGAGCAUUUUCUUGUGGAUGUGGCGAUGUGUCUAGGCCAUUUUAAAAAAGCUUUGCUUAAAUGGGGUUNUGGGUUCGAGUCCCAGAGGCGCCCUUUUGCUAUUUCCUUGUUUUUGUGGUGGAGUAUCUUGACAGGAGUUGAUACCCUGCAUGUUUCCCCUUCCCUGUCGAAGUGGAGCGGCUAGCCCAGUGGUGGGGUGUUGGUUGUGCAUCAGUUAGGUCUUGGGUUCGAUUCCAAGCACCCCCUCCCCCUUUUAAUUUUAUUUUUCCUUUUGCUGUUUUCAAGUAUGCUUGCAAUGUUCAUUGCUUGGGCAGCAAGCUAGUGCUCCCUUUUAGCUAGUGUGUGUGUAUGUGAGUAUAAACAUGUGUAUUUAUGUGUGAGGGCAAGUUCUUGCAUGGUGUGUGUGUAGUUGAAGCAUGUGUAGGUGGGUGUUGUGUGUAUGUGUGCAUGGGAGCAUAUGCACUAGUGUGUGCAUGUGUGUUUGUGUGUGGGUUACCCCCACAUAUUUGUGCAAGUGUGCACCAAGACAUGUAUGUGUGUGUGUGUGUGUGUGUGUGCAAGUGCUUGUGCAUGCACUUGUGUGUGUAGUGGUAGUGUAUGUGUGUAAUGCCCCAAGUGUAGGACUUUCCCUUCUUGUAACCUUCCAUGUGGGGCCACCUUGUCAGAGAUCUUGAUGAUAUCUUUUGUGCCAUGAAUUCAUGUGUGUUCCCUAGUGCUUACUUCCCUUGCAUGCAUGAAUUACAUAUCAUUCCUUGCCAUACUUAUGAUUGCAUGCCAUGAUCAUGUUGCAUUUGAGUUUAAUAGGAGUAGUGUUGUGGUGUUGUGAGUGCAUGUGAUCUUGCUAGGAUUAAGUGGUGGUUUUGCACUACCUUGUGAUGCAUGUGAUAAUGGUGUGUGUGAUGUAGGAGUGAGUGCUAGUCUUUUAAAGCUCUUGCCUUUUAAACUCCUUUUCCCUCCUAUUUUUAUUCUUGUCAAAAUUCCUUCUUCCCAAAGAUGAUUCUAAAAUGUCUAGUGGUUAGAUAAAAUGUGCUUAUGAGGGAGUGCAAUUUUUCUGAUUUGAAUCUUUGAUUUAAGUGGUGCAAAUAAACUCAAAACAGUAGCUUAAUUACUGUUUUGCAUUUAUUUCAAACAUCUCCAAAUAUUGCUUGUCUAUUUUUCCCUAUUGGGCCAUUAUUUCUUAGGUCUAGCGGGAUUUUCCUUUUAUUUUUUAACCCAGUAGUUAUUUUGGGUAAUAUAUUUUUCUUUCCUUCCCUGGGUGCAUUUGUUUCUCUGUUCACCUAAUUGGAUAACUUCCUGGGUAUCUAAUUCUUUCCCUGGCCCAUUAAGCCUUCUCCCGUGCUGGCCCAGUUGGACUCCACCCCUGGCGACAGAGCCCACUGGCGAGCGUUUCCUUCUUCCUCCCGACGUCACUCCUGUACGACGUGCGCUCCACCUCUCGAUCACUCUCUCCUUGAUCCAGCGGCUCGAGCUCGCCUCCCGAGACGUUAAAGAGGAGCCCGGGACCCCCUCCUCCGCCCUAGGGUUCCCUCUCCGUUUUCCCCCAGCGCCGCCAGUGUCCUCCUGCCCUCGUUCUUCCCUGGUAAGUUUCAGAGAGGAAGCAGAGAGAGAGAGAGAGUGCAACGCCUCCUUCGUCAACCCGCCGAUCCGUCGUCUCCGGCACCGGCCGCCAUGGGAGUCUCCUUCCCUGCUUCGGUCUACGUCGGAGGAGCUUCUUCGGCGUCCUCCUCCCCGUUCGGCGCCCCAUCUUCUCCCAAGGUGAGGCCGCGUCCUCCCCGUCCUUCCUCCGCCGCGGACCGGCUCGGUCCCGUCGGGCGCAUGCUUCCUCUGUUAGUAGCAGCAGCAGGUUAGAGGAGCAGUAGCGGCUGUUCUGUGCCGAGUUUGUGCGUGCGUUGUCGAGAGGAGAGGCAAGGCGUAGUGGUGUAGCAGGGUGUUGGUAGCAGUUCGACGCGUAGUAGCAGCAGCAGCAGCCGGCAGUAGGCGCUAGCAGUAGCAGCAGCAGCUAGCCGGUGCAACUUAUCAGCUGCAGCGGCAGAGCACACUGCUGCGUUCCGGGCAGCCAAAGGAGGGACCUUUUCCCGUGCUCAGGGUGGGAAUGGAUCCCCUGAGAGUCCCGCGGGCCCCGCCGAUGGUUUCCCCUGCCGGUGGUGGCCGGGAGUGGCGCCGCCAGCGUCCUCGGGUCCGGCCGCCGGCAGAGCUCAUCUCGUGAGUGGAGUGGGUUUUACUUUUUACCUUCUCGUCUUAGCCAGUCUCCGGUCCGUAGCCCGAUGGUAGUGUUGCUCUGUCUUGUGCUUGCGCCUGAUGAGAGGUCCAGGGUUCGAGUCCCCCCCUCGGCGCCCUUUUGAUAUUUUGUUUUGAUUUAUGUUGCGGGUAGAUUACCUUGCCUUUUUCCCUUCUCCUGUUAACAUCAGUAACAGCAGCGCAGUGGUAGAUGUGUGUUUGUGUUAUCGUCAGGUGCAGGGUUCGAAUCCCAUGCGUUGCACCCCCCUUUUUAUCUUGCCUGUUUCCUUUCUGAUUUGCAGUAGGGCAGCACAACAGAGUUUAACCUCUGUUUGGGUCCUUCUCUGUCGAGCCCCAUGGGCAUAGCAGAGUGGGUGGGUGCAGUAGAGAGCAUCAGCAGGUUCAGGGUUCAAAUCCUGACCCCUCUUGCUAUUGUGUUCUUUCCCUGUUGUUUUUUUUCUUCUGCUACAUUUUUUUUAAAACACCCUUCUUACUAUUGCCGAUCUUGUGCCUACCAAAGGUGGCCAUGGAAUUAUGUUUUUUUUUCCUUGCUGUUAUAGUUGUGCUAGGUGAUGUAGUGUGUGUGGUUGUGCUUGUGAGAGAUGUGCAUGUGAGUGUGUUUUCCUUGUGCUUGGAGUGGGCUCUUGCACCAUGUGGGGCUAGUAGAUUGUGAUGUGUGUGCAUUAGCUUGUGGUAGCUCUAGUAUAGAUAUGUGUGUGAGAGCCUCACCCAUGGCAAGGCAUGAAGAGCAUUGAUGUGCUCAUGAGUAGUAGUGUGUGGUGGUGUUGGAUUCAUUUAGGGAGUGUAGCUAUUGUAUGCUCUAACUAGUUCUAGUAGGACUAGAUUUGUGUCAUGCUAGAUAUGUGGGUGGUGUGGACCUCCCCACCUUUACAAGUGGUGCACCUCCUCAUGUUUAAUAUGAGAGAGGGCAUAUUGUGUGUGUGGGGUUGGCUCAUGUGUGUUGGUGUUGUUGAUGUGCAUGACACAAACAUGGGGUUCAAACCCCCAUGUCACUUUGUCAUUGUGCACAUGAAACCCUCCUAUGUAUUGUCAUCUUAGAAGAAUACCUUAUGGAUUUGCAUUUUUAUUUUGUUGAAAGUUUGGGCUUUGUUUCCAUGAUAUAGAUGGAGCCCAAAGGCAUGGAUCUUGGUGUGUUAGUUGUAGGGGUUUGCGCUCAAUACCAUAGUGGUGUCAAACACCUCUUGGGAACUUGUGUGUGCAAACUAUGCCUAGACAAAGUGGGCAUGUGGUUGGGAAAUUCCAGAUUUUUGAACUCUGAAAAUUUCACUAAGUCUGGAAUGCUGAAAACAUUUUCUUCCCCUGUAGAUAAGGUUUUUCUGGUCAUUAUGUUGAGAACUGGACUUAGUUCAGUGCUAGUCUUUUGAACCUGGGGUGUUUGUGAAGCUUCCUGUCAAUUUUCAAGUCAUUUGGAGUCCAGUAGCUUGUGUUUUGAUUGCUGUAAAAAAGCUUCAGAACAGAAACAGAAACUCAGGUGCAGGAAUUUUCACUAAGUCCCUGAGAACUGAUGGUUUUGGGAAAGUUUGUGGCCUUGUAUCUUCUAGAGUUUAAUUCCUUUUGCUGUGAUUCUUGCUGGAGCUUGUAGUGUUCUUGGUUGGAAACAGCCACAUAUAUUAUUUGUCGUAUUUGAAGACCUGUAGCUAUGUUGCAUGUGGCUCACAAACAGCUAAGAUGCAGAAACUGGCAGAUUGCGUAGUUUUGACAUUUUGUUCAAAGUUUGUGUUUAAUUGUUGUUGGGGUGUUCUACCUUGCUCCAUUUCAUUCAUGUUGGGUUAAUAUAUGUCUUGGAAACCUGGGAACACCAGAUUUGUGCCAAUUGUGUGUGUGGUGAUGAAUCUUUCACGUAGGGCUUCAUAUCGUGUUUCGUUGAUUCCCGUUGAUCCGUAGCUCCGUUUGCAAAGUUCUUUACAUGGUUUUGCACCGUUUUUACGAGCUGCAUCUGUUAAUAUCAUUCCCAGGCAUGUCCAAAUAGUUUAGUGCAAAGUUAUGUCCAGGAACUUGUUGUAGUUUAUCCUGCUUGUGCUAGUGUUAGAAAUAGUGGUGCAUGCUCAACUUUCAUCUCAUGCAUCAUGUGAUUGUUGCAUUUUGUGGUGCUGCUGUUCAUUGGCUGUUAUUUCUUGUGUUGGGUAGCACCGGGAGCGGAGAACGAAUACGUGGAGUCAGGAGAGUACGUGCAGGACGAUCCAGAACCAUUCCAAGCUGAGGAUAUCACAGGCAAGAUGACAUGACCUUGAUCCCAUAUCUAGACUUGUUAUGUUAGUUUUGAUUCCACGUCAUAUUGCUCGCUGCCUACCACUGAAAAUAUAUUGCCUCUUCAUAUGCCAUGAGCCUAAACACUUUACUCUUUCCUAGCAAACUUGCCUGGCUAGGUAGGCUUGCUCAGCUACUAAUGUUAGCAUUGUUAGUUGCAGGUGUUUAUAACUCAUGAGUUGCCAUGAGCUUGAUAUCAUUAUAUUAAAUUUCUGUUAUUUAAUUAAUGUAUCUAUAUAUUUGGUAAAUGACGGGAGGCCUAGCCUUUUGCCGGGUGUCUUGUUCCGUUAUUGCCGCCUUAGUUACCGGUUACCGGUGUUUGAUUCCAUAAUGAUCGCUCCUAACACGUUCGGGGUUGUUAUGGGGACCCCCUUGAUAAAUCGCGUAGUGUUAAGGCUUGUCCGGCAGGACCCAACUUUGGUUUUAAUCUGCUAAUCACAUAAUAAUCUGCAUAGGGAAUAGCUACCCCGAGGAAUUUACUCAACAACCCGGGCCAGUGCUCCCCAUGAGUGUUGGCCCCACCUGAGCGAUGUCCGGGGCCCCACUGGUCACCCACAGGUUUAGCCAUCCGGACGUCUAGCUCAUCUGUCGUGUCCUGAGACUGAGAUACGCGGCUCUUAUCAGGGUCGUCGACACGACGGGAGGUCCUGCUAGCCUUGUCUUGCCUUAGCGGUAUAUCUUGCGUAUAGGAAUCCCGGUGAAGCUGUGGUUUUCCCCAGAGUUGAGGUUUUCCUCUAAGGAAUCCGACGAGAUCACGAGAUUCGUGAUAGAGGAUGCCUUUGCGGCCUGUGUUCGUUUGUGAUGGACUAGUUGGAGCACCCCUGCAGGGUUUAAUCUUUCGGAAAGCCGUGCCCGCGGUUAUGUGGCAACUUGGAAUAUCUUGCUAACAUCCGGUAUUAGAAAACUUAAACAUAAACUAAUAAAAUAUGCCAACUGUGUGUGUAACCGUGACUGUCCCUUCGAAGUCCUCUCUUCGAACGGGAACACGGUGGGGUUAUGAAUGUCGUAGGUAGGGGUUCAGGAUCACUUACUGAUCAAGCAUUCUUGUUCGUUAGCGUAGACCACGUUUACUUCCUUCUCGCGUAAGUUAGCCACUUAUUCAAUCAUAGGUUGCAGCAGCCUGAAACACUUCUUACCUUCCUUACCCAUCAACAUGACUAGUUCUGGCACCAAGGUCUUAGAUUGCUGAGUCCCCGUGGCUCACGGAUUCCUCCGAAACUUCCAGCAGGUACAGGUACCCCAGAGACCGAUGGUCCCGAUGGCAUCCAGCUAGCGUGGCAGUACGACGAGGAGACAGACCGUCUUUACGUGAACUAUCCAGAGGACUGAGCCAUGGUCGUGAUCGUGGGCCCGCAGCCGGUAGCAUAGCAUUUCCCUUGUUUUGUAGUCCGUACCGGAACUACCUUGUUUGUAUCUGCGUUGUACUCUGUAUUAUUAAUAAGAAGACAGUUGAAUCCCAGAUUGUCUACUAUAUUUAUUAUUAUGUGCUAUGUUUACUUGCUUGCAAAACACUUAGAUGCGCUUCUUUCCUAUUCGGGGGCCUCGACUCCCAGAUCGGAAAGGACCGCAUCUUGGUCGUUACAAUGUGUGUGUGUGUGUGUCACACACACAUGAGCAAGUGUGUUCAUGGUGGCCUUAGUACACCAUGGGGGUUCUUUGAGCACCUAGGGAUAAGUGGGUGAGUGUCAUGUGGUAGUUUUGUGUGUGUAUGCAUGUGUGUAUGUGGUCAUGCAUGUGUGUGUGGGCAUGGGUGCAUCUAUGCACUUGUGCAUGAGGGCUAACCCCUCAUGCUUGCCACCAUGGUGUGUN
This 53947-nucleotide long non-coding RNA is filed under the name Hordeum vulgare. RNAcentral describes it as "long non-coding RNA (HVUL_LNC006483)". Lineage: Eukaryota; Viridiplantae; Streptophyta; Magnoliopsida; Poales; Poaceae. The record is from RNAcentral.